This 55249-nucleotide long non-coding RNA is filed under the name Solanum tuberosum (potato). RNAcentral's name for it is "long non-coding RNA (STUB_LNC004175)". The stretch from base 43548 to 43599 matches the Rfam family "MIR1886 microRNA precursor family". Lineage: Eukaryota; Viridiplantae; Streptophyta; Magnoliopsida; Solanales; Solanaceae. The record is from RNAcentral.
UUUGGUAGAAUAAUUGAGGGAUCUUGAGUCUUUGAAAUGUUCAACCUGUGUAAAAUUCCAUGGAUUUGAAGUGUUUUGACGUCGGUAUGUGGAAACUUAAAGAAGGAAAUGAGGAGAAACUGUUUGUUCAAGUCGUUUUCAACAUGCAAAAAUAAUCUGUGUCAAUUUGCAAUUAUGUGACAGCUGCUAGGAAGAUUCAAUCAUUUGAGAAAGGUCCUUUUGAUUUGGUGUUAUUUAACAGUAUGAACAUUUCUCAUUAGUAACUGGUAACCCAACCUACACAGAUGUGUGUUUCUUCAUGUUACAAAAUUAUUUAGAAUUUAGAAACUUAAAUUGCAAUGGAAUAGUUACAAUUUCUUGUACCAAAAAAAAAAGGUUACUACAACUAGUUAGUCCCGAGUGUGUAUAAUAUAAAGAUGGAGCAAUUGCAUAUGCUAUUCAAUUAUCGACCUUUCUGGGCCGUAGAUUCUCAAUAGUGAACACCAUUUUUGAAAGUCCUUUUUUGUGGAAGUGUUGGAAAAUAAUGCAGUAUCGCAACUACUUUUUAACGUGAGGAUACUAAUGGCAAAAAUAUGUCAAGUUUAAACGCGGAAAACUAUAGGGAAAUGUUAUUUGAGUUUUUGAACAUUUAUUACCUUGAAUUCCAUGAACCUGGAGUUUCAACUUUGAAUUGAUAAAAGUUUGGUUUAGAACUCCCAACUAACUUUCACAAUUUAAUUGUGAAGUUUGAAUUCCAUGUAUUGAUCUUUGAAAUUUGACUAAAUUUUUUUUUUGAACAAUAUGAAUCAUUCAUGAAGCUUAAGGACAACAAAUUUGAAUGCCAUGAAAUUUGAAAUUAUACAAAUUUUUCCCCUUCAAGUGUGAAAGAUUAAACUCCAUUAAUUAUUUCUGAAAUUUAAUUUGAUAAAAGUCUGAACUGAACCCAUAAAUAGAAUUUAAACUCUAUCAAAGUUUUAUGAAGUUGUUAGUGUUUAAGUUAGGGAGAGUUUUCUUAUUCAUAUAGUAUUAUUUUUUCCUUAAGAAGUUUAUAUAUCACGAUUACAUUUUAAACCGGUCCCAAAAUUGACCAUUCGGACUAAUUUUUACAUAAUCAAGUGAUCUUGAGAGUGAAAACGAAUGCUAAUUUUUACAUAGUCAACUGUCAAGUGAUCGUGGGAGUGAAAAUAAUUGACCAAUAUCUUUGGACUAUCUGAUUAUGUGUAUAACAUAUAGGACCCGUUUGGUAGGCGGUAUUAGAUAAAAUAAUCCAUGGCUUAAAAUUUAAUCCAUCUAAUACAUUAUUUGGUUACUUUAUUUAAUUUAAUCCAUGGAUUGCUUAUCCACCAUAUGUGGUCUUAUCUUAUCCCUAGAAAAUGGAGGGAUAACUAAUCCAAGGUUUAACAAACCUUGGAUAAGAUCCCUAAAUGACUAAACUAUCCCCUUAUUCCUUUUCCUAAAUUUCUUUUGUAAUUUAAUUUCCUUUUUAUUUAUAUUGAAAUGGUUAUAAAUGUUCUUUUUUAAUUCUCCAAAUUCGUUUUGUGUAAUUUAAUGAUUUCACUAAAAAAAAUUCUCCAUUUUUCUUGAUUUUUUUAUUCAAGAUAGUUUGUCGAUUAACCACUUGAAUUAUUUAUUUUUAUUUUUAUUUUAAAAAAAACAAGCUUUAGGUAUUGAACAAUUUAAGUAGUCUUAAAUCUAUGUUAAGUUUAAGAUAUACUUGACCAACAAAAAAUUAGAAAUACACCGUGCCAUUAAUGAUCUCCUUAAAAGUGGUACAUCACACCUUAAAAUUAAUAACAAUUUAUAUAUAUAUUUGACUUAACUUGUUAAAUGGAAUAGAAAAUCCUACAAAAAAAUAAUAUUGUUCGGCGGUUAUCUACUUUGACCCAAUUACAUGAAAUUAACAAUCUCAUAAUAACAUAAGGGUAUAAUAGGAAAGCAAUUUUUUGUAAAGUUUUAAAUCAAACACAAGAUUAAGUGGAAAGUAAUGAACCAAACACUUGACAAAAAAUAAUUNNNNNNNNNNNNNNNNNNNNNNNNNNNNNNNNNNNNNNNNNNNNNNNNNNNNNNNNNNNNNNNNNNNNNNNNNNNNNNNNNNNNNNNNNNNNNNNNNNNNNNNNNNNNNNNNNNNNNNNNNNNNNNNNNNNNNNNNNNNNNNNNNNNNNNNNNNNNNNNNNNNNNNNNNNNNNNNNNNNNNNNNNNNNNNNNNNNNNNNNNNNNNNNNNNNNNNNNNNNNNNNNNNNNNNNNNNNNNNNNNNNNNNNNNNNNNNNNNNNNNNNNNNNNNNNNNNNNNNNNNNNNNNNNNNNNNNNNNNNNNNNNNNNNNNNNNNNNNNNNNNNNNNNNNNNNNNNNNNNNNNNNNNNNNNNNNNNNNNNNNNNNNNNNNNNNNNNNNNNNNNNNNNNNNNNNNNNNNNNNNNNNNNNNNNNNNNNNNNNNNNNNNNNNNNNNNNNNNNNNNNNNNNNNNNNNNNNNNNNNNNNNNNNNNNNNNNNNNNNNNNNNNNNNNNNNNNNNNNNNNNNNNNNNNNNNNNNNNNNNNNNNNNNNNNNNNNNNNNNNNNNNNNNNNNNNNNNNNNNNNNNNNNNNNNNNNNNNNNNNNNNNNNNNNNNNNNNNNNNNNNNNNNNNNNNNNNNNNNNNNNNNNNNNNNNNNNNNNNNNNNNNNNNNNNNNNNNNNNNNNNNNNNNNNNNNNNNNNNNNNNNNNNNNNNNNNNNNNNNNNNNNNNNNNNNNNNNNNNNNNNNNNNNNNNNNNNNNNNNNNNNNNNNNNNNNNNNNNNNNNNCAGAAGAUUCUUGUCAUUUGAGUAUUUUCUCUAUUUUCAUCUAACACCCAAAAUAAUAAUAAAAAAUUAUUGGAUAAUAAAGAGAUGUCAAAUGAAAAAUUAUCUCAAUAUAUUAUAAUUGAUUGAUUUAUUAGUUUCAUUAUUCAUACAUAUUAGAGGUUUGGUUUAAUUUUUUGGAAAAUAAUAUUAAUUUUUUUAAUUAUAUUGUUCAAAAGAUAUUGUUUGUUGAAUUCGAACUACUAUGUUUUACUCGCGGGUUCAAAAUUUAUUUUAAAAUGAAAAAGUGUUAAUUAUAUGUUUAAAACUUACUUCCAAAUGAAAAUGUGUUAACUAAUAACUAUAUGUUCAAAUAAUUUUAAGCACGGAUAAGCUUAUUUUGUUACCAUUAUAAUAGAAUAGUUAAGAUGAAUUUAUCAACAAAUUAACAAGAAGUCUUGACUAAAUUUGUACUUAAUAAUUUUAAACUUAACAAGUAUAAGGAUCUUUAAAUUUAAAAUUGUGUUAAGAUUUGAAUUUUUUUAUUGACGGAUAGUCUUAAUUAGAUAAAUUUUAAACUUUUUACUUAAUUAACAUGUCAUAUUCCUCUUGCUAAAAUAUAUUAAGUGGAUAUUUAAUUUUUAGAAGGAUUGUAAAUUAUUUUUAUAUAUACAUGUUUCUUUUAAAAUCUUUAGUAACUUAUUGAUUUGUGCUAAAUAGUUAUAUGACCACAUAACAGUUAGGAAGAGAAAAAGUGAGGGUGAUAUUUUUCUUUGAUCAAGAAAUACAAUUAUAUUUUUUUUUAUAUUUCUUUUUUAUUUAUGUGCUAUAUUAAAAGAAUUUAAAAAAUAUUUAACUAUUAAUUAUAUUAAAUGUGCAUUGCAAAGAAAUUAAAAGAAAACAUUUUUAGAAUAUGUUAAAUGUAAAAAUUAAUUUGUCUUUAUUUUCAUUAAUUACUCCACAACUUUUUAUUAUUAUGACCUAUAAAAUAAUUAAUAGUCAUAUUCAUCAUAUUAUUUGGUGUUUCAUAUAGUAGCCCUGUAAAUAAAAUCAUUGUAAGAUUUUAUAGAAGAUCACAUUAGGUUUUUAGAUUGUUAUAUUUUCGGUGCUUAUUAUAUUCAUAUUUUAAUUUGAUUUGAAGAAUAAGAUGAAAAAUGGUGAUCGGCUUGCGGGAGUGGAGUGGACGUCCAUAAGAACUCGAAAGAUAUGUGUACUAAUUUCAUAUUUUUCCUUCUAUUUUUAAUGAGUAAGGAAUUAAGAAUGAUGUUGCAUUUUUAUUGGUAUGAUUUAUCUUUAUUUUGCAUCUUAUGUGAAUUUCUUAUUGCAAUUUUUUUGUUCAAAAUAGUAAAAAAUUUAAUAACUUUAUUGGAAGUCUACUAAGUACUAACCAAACAUUUUUAUCUUACAUCAAUAUUAUAUUUAAUAAAAUUAUCAAAAUUUUAUCACUCUUUAUAACCGCGCGAAGCGCGGAGAAGUUCACAAAUUUGGUGUUUGGGUUGGAGAUGCCCUUAGUGGUACAUCACACCUUAAAAUUAAUAACAAUUAUAUAUAAUAUAUAUAUACACAUAUUUGACUUAACUUGUUAAAUGGAAUAGAAAAUCCUACAAAAAAAAAUAUUGUCCGGCGGUUAUCUACGUUGACCCAAUUACAUGAAAUUAACAAUCUCAUAAUAACACAAGGGUAUAAUAGGAAAGCAAUUUUUUGUAGAGUUUUAAAUCAAACACAAGAUUAAGUGGAAAGUAAUGAACCAAACACUUGACAAAAAAUAAUCCCGACACUACUAAUUCCUGCAUUACUAAUACAUGCGUUACUAAUCUGUGCAUUACUAAUCCCUGCAUUGUCAAUGUUUGUACCAAACGACCCCAUAGUGCUUAAGUGUCUAAAUAGUAUAUGUAUAUAUUCUUAUUUAAUAAAAUGAAACUAUUUUUAAUAAUAAACAAAGGAAUAUUUCAAUCAUGUCGAUGAAUAACCUUAGAAAAGAUAGAUUUAUGUAAGUUUCCAUCGUGGGGUCACCACGUAGAGGCUCAAUCAUAUUUGGAACUUGGCCCACGGCAGUAUGGUUGGCUUAGGGAGCUUAUUUAGAACCGUUGAUUUAUACGUCUUAAAAUAUUCAACAUGCAGAUUUAUAGUAUUAAUCUAGACUUUAGUCGUUUCCACUUUAUUUGGCCAAUCAACGGUUUUAGAUUUAUUCUUAUCGGCGAUUAAUUUGCUUCUAUAAAACCACUCGUGCCAACAACUUCACACUCUCUCCCCCAAAGGAGGGCAGCGGAGGUUACUCGCCUUUUGCUUCUGAAUCAGAUAGACCGAUCUGCAAAUUGAUCCCACGAAUAAGAUGUUAUUGAGAAGCUCAUCAACCCCUUUACUUAAUUCAUGGAAACCGAAACCAUGUGGGUCGUCGCCGGAAUCCGAUUUAUUACCUAUAACGACCCAGCAAUUGAACAGGACACGAUCUGUGUUAAUGUCGACGUCGUUUGGUCCGGAUGAAACUCCGGCGAAACAUACGUCUCCGACGAAACAUGCACCUAAUAGGUGUAUGUGCGAGUUGGACCCACGAGAUCCAGCUGUUCCGAAGAAGAACAAAAACGGAACAAAAAGAGAGGCGAAGACUCCGAAGCUAAAGAAUAACGAAGUGGGUUCGACGGAGGUGAGGAGGUUGUUGUCGAAUUCUGGUUUGGGGAAUGCGGAGGAGGAGGCUAGUGUGGCGGUUGAGGAGAAAGGGAGGGUGUUGCAGUCUCUGGUGGCGGGUGGUGUAGGUGGAGGAGGAGGAGGAGGUAAAGUUUGCGGUGGCGGAGGUAGCGGAGGAUCGGAUGGUGGAGAUGGGUCUGAUUCUCAGGAUUCAAAUAGUUGGCAUGGACCUGAUAAUAUAGAUGCCUAUUACCAGAAAAUGAUCGAAGCCCACCCAGGAAAUGGUCUCCUUCUGGCCAAUUAUGCCAGAUUCUUGAAAGAGGUAAAAAAAUUCUAGAUGAAAUUUCCUCUGCCUUUUAUAAAUUCAGAUCCAGAAUUUUGACUUGAUAGGUUCAAAACAGCUCCAUCCGCCUAAUUUUGUUUUGAGUUUGUUUAAUUGAUUCAUUUUUUACUACUACACUGAUUUAUUGAUUCGUGGGAUGCCAAUUAUUGAUGCAAACAGGUUAGGGCUGAUUUAGAAAAAGCUGAGGAAUACUGCGGAAGAGCGAUUUUAGCAAACCCGAAUGAUGGUUAUGCGUUGUCACUCUACGCUGAACUGAUAUGGCAAACUCAGAAAGACGCUGCUCGUGCCCACACUUACUUUGAUCGAGCUGUGAAAUCUGACCCUGAUGACUGGUAUGCAUAUGCUUUGCAUUUCCUUUUUAAGAUUUGAAAUAUUCAGUGGGAUAAAUAUUGUUAUAUAUGUCACUUUCUGGGCAUUGUUAUCAUGUUUAUGAUUGAUGGAUUGAUUCCAGCCUGAAUGAAUGGGCUCUCUACCAGAUGGGCCACUUUUUUUGGAGCUAUUUGUCCUCUCUCUCAAAAAUAUCUUGGUGGUCCAUUUGCCCAUACUUUUAUUUACUUAAUUAUAUUUUUAGCACGUCCCUUCCAUGUAGGUUUGAUUCGCUAUUCAUGGCCAAACACGUGUAACUAUCUUUUUGAUAAUGAGUGAUGGUGAAAUUUGAUCCAAGACUUUUGCAUGCUUUGAUAUCAUAUUAAAGAUUUGGAUUUUGAACCUAAUCAGCAUGAUAUCAAAGCAAGCAAGAGCUCUGGAAAUCGAGUCUCACUGUCAUCCAUUAUCAAAAAGAAUUUUCACAUGCUUGGUUCAUGAAAAGAACAUGCCGCUUGUGAGGGGUGUGUUGAAAGACAUAACUAAAUAAAUAAAAAUAACAUCUGUCUAAUAACUUAAGCUUUUAAAUGAGAUGGUCACAUACUUCAACAGAUUGACCCUGUUUUGCCUUCUAAUGUGACGAACGGGUAUUAUUGCAGCUAUGUACUGGGCUCUUAUGCUCGAUUCCUGUGGGAUGCUGGUGAAGAAUAUGAGAAUGAGGGUGAGGAAGAUGAACUGAGUAGGCAAUUUGGUAUACAACAUGAGAAUUCAGGACCAGCCCAGAACUUCUUUGGGGCACCGUCUCAUCGACCUCCCUUGGCUGCUGCUUCUUAGUUUCACAGCCUCUUCCCAUGUUAAUCAGACUCUUGAGCACAUGGUUUAGAUAACUAAUAAGUACUGCUAGUAUAUAAGUAGCUAUGAAAUAGAUUGCUCUCGACUAUGAAGAGUUUUCCUUCCGUCUCUUUUACAAGCUCUAACUAAUUUUAAUUUUGUGAUGUCUGAUAAGUGAUAACCGAGUAUUAUAAUUUGUAUACUUCGCGUUGUUUCUCAAAUAAUAAUGCAUAAAGUGAGUUGUUUUGUAGUUUGAUUAAAACUCACCAUUUUCCAUAAAACACAAGUUCCAGGUGUUCUUGCUGUAGUAUGUAACUCCAGUUUUUUUUUUUUAUAAAGGUAGUGUUGGGGCAUCCUACCCUGUACCUUCAAAUAUUUGAUUGAAUACUUGCCCUCUCAUUAGCAUGUAUCAAAGUUCAUCGCUUUGUUUGCUCUUUUAGAUUGGGCCAUUUUCUUGGGCUUGUAUGUCAUGUUAAUCCAUGCAUGAACUAGUCCAAUAUAGACUUGGGCUACCACCAUAUUGCGGAGUGUGUUGGAAGAUUCUCAGAAGUGUUCAAUUCAACUGAAUAAUGAUGAAGUGAUAUUUGAAUAAAUUGCUAAUUAUCAGAAUUAUUUCCUUAUUCUAUUUUCUUGUCAGGUAAAUAAUUGAGAGGAUUAAAAAAUAUUUACUGAUAUAUAUGUUUCUGUUAUAAAAUAAUAAUAAAGAACUAUCAAAACAACAAAAGAUAAUACUAGUAAUAAAAUAUCAACACAACAAAAGAUAUAGUCCAAGAAAAAAGGGGGAGAGAGAUUUUUUAUUUAUUUUCAAACAAAAUAAUUUGAAGGGAAAAGGGUUUGAAAAAUAUUUUAACUUUAGCCGAAAUUGCUGUUAUGAUACCAAAUUUUAUGGAGGACCUUUUACCCCUGAACUAUUUAAUAAUGUAUUUUUUACCCCCUGAACUAUUUAAUAGUGUAUUUUAAAGGUAUAUAUGUGUCCACGUGGACACAUUACUAUUUAUAAUUAUGCAUUAUUUUUUAUGUCCACGUGGGCACAUAUAUAUCUUUAAAAUACACUAUUAAAUAGUGCAUGAAUAAAAGAUCAUUUCCAAAGUUUGAUAUCGUAACAUCAAUUUGUUUGCUUAAACUAUUUGCGAGCAAUCUACUUAAUUUCAAACCUAUCCAAAAAUAUGCUGAAUGUUUGUAACAGUAAACUCCCAAGGUUUAUUUAACAGUCCUUUUGUUUUCGCCUCUGGUUUAGUAGUAGUAGUAGAAAUAAAAGGAGAUUGCGUAAGAAACAUGACUUGCGCUACCGGAUCCAAAAUCCAAUAUUUAAAUUCAGUUAAUAGAGUUUUGGGGAACGUUAUCCACUGGAAAAAAAAAGAGUUUAGGCAUGAACUAAUCCAAAAAUGGAGCACGUCGUUUGAUUAAGCCAGCAGACGCCACGUGUCUAACCUCAUAAAUCACAGAAAAAGAGAAUAGUCACCCUAUACCAUAACAGCUUUUAUUCAACAAAUCCUAUCCGUCCACUUGUGCGACGUGUGAUAAAUCUGUUGCGUGUUUGAGGCGGUUUCCUAUGAGUUGCGGCGUCUUUUAAGUAUAUGUCAAGCAAGCUUCAUAAAUGGUUGUACUGAUGCAAAAACAGAGCUAAGUUGUAGUUUUUGAGUUUUGAUAUUUGGAGAAGACAAUAAUGGCAAGUAACAAUAUGGAUCUUUCGCCUGUGGAGCUUCCUGCGGCGCCUCUGUCUUGGAAGAAACUGGUAAUUUUUUUACCAAUAUUUCUAGUGUUGUUUGUUCCUCUGCUCUACAAGGCUAUGUAUGUUACUACUCUUUUGGUUGUUUUGAGUAUGCUAUAGUUCCACUCAAAUUGUUUCAUAUGACUUUCAGUUAUUAAUUCUGUUUAUUUUCCCUUAUUUCAGUUAUUAGUUGAGUAUAUUCUUCACUUUGUAGCCUCGAUUUAUUUCUUACUUCAGUCUGAUCAGAUAUGGAAUACCAGAUUUAAGUGAUUUUCUCUUGUUUGUUCCUGUUGUUGAUUGGAGAGUUGACUUUGGGAGGGAAAUAGAGAGUUGGUGAUCUGUUUAACAAGCUAGAUUAAGGCAACAAAGUUUAGUUUUUGGUUAUGUAACAGAAGCUGAUUUUUGUUGUUGCAAAGGCUGGAGUUUCUUCUGAGCUUCUUGAAGAAAUUUCUAUUUUCUAGUCACUACAAGUUAAACAUGAACUGUGGAUGACAAUAUAGUGGAAUAUGAGUGUAAAUUUCAUUUAGAAAUAACUAGUAAACCAACCAUACAAGAAUUACAAUAUGAAUAAUACUACGGUUUCUGUUCACUAAGCUUGAAAUCUAAAUAAGCUUAUAUGGUUCAACACUUGACAACCACCAUGACUUGCGCCAUCUCAAAAGUUCGGAGGGAAUUGUGAGGUACCAAAUGGGAAGUAAUUAAUAGUUCUCUUUCUUUUCGGUGUCUGUUUUCUGCUGUCUUUAAUUAUUCUCUUCACGAGCUAGAUAUCCGUAUCCAUGUUUGUGAUAUCGUUAUUGAUGAGUGAAGAAUUCUGUAUAGUGUCCUACUUAGCUUGUUUGAGAAAUCAGUAUUUGAAAGCUCCUGGGAUUGUAUCCUUCAACAAGGGAUAGUUAAGUAUUUCUUGUGAGGCAUAGUUGGACACCUUAUAUAUUUUCCUCUUAUCUGUUUAUUUGCAGCUCAUGCUGAAAAAGGGUGUUAGAGCAAAGAAGAAUGAGGUUGUAUUUGUUGCUCCAACAGGAGAGGAGAUAAGGAAUAAGAGGCAGUUGGAGAAGUACCUGAAAACACACGAUGGAAAUCCUGGUAUGUCAGAAUUUGAUUGGACUACUGGUGAGGCUCCAAGGAGAUCAGCACGGAUCAGUCAGAAGGUUAAGGCAAUGCCACUUCCAGCAGUGCUUGAGCCGGCAAAGAAGCGACAACGUACGUCUUAUGCUACAAAAAAAGAAGAGGAAAUGGAUAUCGCAGAUAUAGAGAAGGAAAACAUGGAAUCUGCCAUAGAAGAAAAGGAAGGCUUGGAGAAGGAGGAGAAUAUAGUAGAAGUUGAAAUGGAGGACAAGGGGGGUGAGAUGGGCGCUAAUAAGGAAAAUACAGAGCAUAAAAAAGAAGAGGAAAUGGCUGGUACAGAGGUUUCAGAUAGGAAAACUGAGGCCAGCAAUGACAUUCAGUUUGAGGAUGGAGGAGAUAAAAUGGCUGAAAAUGUUACAGAGGAGACUAUAGCAAUUGAUGCCGACUUCUGGAAUGAUUCCAUGGACAAGGACUAUUUCAAGGGAGUGUUUGCAAAUGCUGUAAUUGGAGAAACAAAUGGUGCUGAAGCAGGAAUAGAAGUCGGGGAGAAACCAGGAUACGGGGAAAAUCUAGAGUCCCAGAUUGAUAUAGACAUUAGUGGAGCAGAUAACAUGAAUCACGACAUUCCAGAUAAGGGUACACCAGAAAGAAAAGUCGCAGGAGGAGAGACGUACAACAUUCAGGACCCUGCAUUUGUUGGAGAAGCUAGUGGUUUCCGUGAAGAGCCUAAUUCGGUGGAGGAGGAGAAAAAUAAGAACAGGGCUGGCCUGGUUAUGGAUAAUUGCCAGAUUAAUCAGCCAGAGCGAGCACAUACCCCACAACAUCAAUCUGUUGCCACCAUUAGUUGUUGAGUGUAGCAUCUAAAAUAAAUUAGGCCUUCGCCCAGUGCAUGUUUAAUCCGUACUAGGACGAUUAUAAUAGUUUGCUUAGUAGUUUAGGAAUUAGCGUUUUAGAGAUCAACUUUCCUGAUCUUUCUGUGAUCUGUACUUUGUGAUAUAUUGUGGUCUUCUAGUAUCUUACUAACAUAAAUAAAUGUCAACUUGUUCAUUGUGAUCUUUCUUGUUUAUUGGUACUGCUGAAAUUCAAUAUAUAACGUAAAAAAUGUCUUGAGAAAUAACGGUGUCUCGAGUUCAGGUGGUUAGAACUUACAGCUAAGUAAGAGUAAGACUGUGUAAACUUGGAGAUUGAAAUUCUAGCUAAUUAAGAGAAAGUCGAUUGAAAUUUUGUAUCAUGGAUUCAUGAUUGUUUUUUAUAGUAACAAAGUGUAGUAGUUUAAACAAAAAUUCUCACAGGAAGGAUUAAAGCUAUCAAAAAUAUGUACAGUAGUUUUUUAAAGGGUGAGGAGGUAAUUAAGAAGCAAUAAUUUUUCUGAUAAUCAAAGGAGGAACCUUACUUUACAGUUGCAAAUCAUUUUCGUCUAUCGUAUCGUAAAAAGAAAGGUUCAACUUCCAAGUCAAGUGUUCAUUUACUAAUUGCUCCAUUUGAUUAUUUUGGGAGUUGAAUUAGCCCCAUUUUCCAACAUCCCUUUCGGGUUCUUCUUUCUACCUCAUUUCCCUGUUAAUGUUUCAAUCAACAUUAAAUUCCUACUUUGAUUCCUCACCGCUCUUGCUAUAAUAGAAACUCAAGACCCAGCACCACGCAAUUUAAGAGUUUAGACCAAUUCAAAAAUUCCUUCCCUUAUAUAUACAGAACCAUAUUGUCUAUCUAGUCAUCUCAUCCUACCCUAACAAACUACGUAGUAAUCAUCAAUUUCCUCACUAGCGACUUCCAAAAAACGUCGAAUUAAGAAAUUAGUUACCAAAAACUUAAGAUAUGGACAAAAUGUUGUGCAUGAUGGUCUUUGGUGUUUUAGCCGUUGCAAGUAUGAUGCAAGACGCAACAGCCCAAACGGUGCAUGUAGUUGGGGACACCAUGGGUUGGAUCAUACCAAGCAAUGGCACGGCAGCUUAUACAAAUUGGGCUGCUGGGAAAACCUUCAGCGUUGGUGACACACUAGGUAUGUGUAUUUAAUGAUCAAUUUCCAUUUUCUGAUAUCCUUCAGCUUAUUUUGUAUUAACACAAAUCCAGUGUAUGAUUAUGUUACUUUCCGUAUUUUAUACAGUAUUCAAUUUCACGACUGACCGACAUGACGUGCUGCAAGUAGAAAAAACAUCGUUCGAUGGUUGCAAUUCACUGAAUGCCAUAGGGAAUGCUAUAAUGACAGGACCAGCUAAUAUGACUCUAAACUCUACUGGAGAACACUACUAUAUUUGCACUUUUGGUAUGCACUGCCUAAAUGGCCAGAAAUUAGCUAUUACAGUUUCCAGCGGCACUGGUACUCCAGAAGCCAACCCGCCUAACCCAAGCAAUCCAACAACUCCUGUUGUGCGACAACCAGAAGCUUGUGCACCUACACCCUCUGCUGCAGGACCUUCAAAUUCUGUUCCAGGUGGUCGUGCUCCUCCUACGCCUUCGUCCUCAACGACCGUGUUGGCCAGUUUUGUACUCAGUCUGUCCACCAUUGCCUUGGCCACUUUACUUUAAAUUGGGUAAAUUAAGGAGGUGUUGAGCUUCCUAGUUUAUACGUAAUAAUAAUGUGAUGAAUUUUUUUUAAUUAUUGGAUUGAGUUUUGUUUUGUGAGUGGCAGUAAAAUUGUUGUAUUGUUUUUACGAUCAUCAUCAGUGCAGAUUAUUUUGGUACAGUAGGCAUGUCCCCUUGUAGUAUCGAAUAAACAAUCUAUAAGUAACAGUUAUGGUGUAUUUUAUCAUACCAAUAUUUGUUGAUCCAAUAUAAAUAAUGAUGGUGAAUAAUUCUGCAAUAAUUCAUACCAAGCAUGUAAAGAUGAUAGUUUUACCAUCUCCAGUGAUACAAAAUAAAUAAAUAAAUAAAUUAAUCUUUCAUUAAGUUGAAACCUGGGUGAUAUACGUAUAAGUCCCACAGACCCAAUUUAAAUUUCCAUGCUUUAAAGCCUCUAAUUUUGGUGUUUCACAAAUCACACUGACAGUAAAUUCAUGAUGUAACAUUCAAGUCCAUUCAAUGGAAAGGGUGUAGGUUGUCGAAAGAUAAUCCCCACAUUGUCUCUAAAACAAACUUACUUAUUAUUCUUGUUCUAGAGUCUCUGCAACCAUUUGAGCAUACUUAGCCAAUUGAGUGAACUUCAAAGCAUACUGCUUCAUACUCAUAUUUUCUUGACGAAGGUUGAUAAAUUCAAGUAUUUUUAUCUCCCUCAUCUCAAGGAGAAAGAACAUAUCAAGGAAAACAGCUUUAAACAAAGUCCAAGAAGAUUAUUAACAUAACGAUCAUCAGGAGUACUUAGGUUUAAUAUGUCGCAUAUAAGGUAAUUCAUUUUCUUAGAAAACGAAAGAAAUUAUUUUAAAUCUCAAAGUGAUCAUAUAUGAACAAAAAAAAAAUAAUAUUUUACUCUCCUUAACAUUGCUAUACAUUUCUAGCUACUACGAUAUUAAAACGAUUCCAAUUGUUCCCCUGUUUCGAUGAACUAACCAUUUAAUUUGUAUUCACUUUAUUUUUCAGAAGUCAAUAUUCACCAAAGCGAGAUGGUAUCGUUGCUUGAUUUAGACUCUGUAUAGUGCUCUCUAUGAUCAUCUAGAGUUUCAAAUUGUUGGUGAAUCUAUUCUUUAUCAUGUCCACAAUGAUCAGAGAGUCUAAUUCCAUCCAAAUGUUUGCCAAUUGGCUCCAUACAUUGUUGUUUUUGCCUCGGCCUCAGUGUUGCUACUGCAACAGAGAAUGCAUAACUUACAUCGCCACUAUCAUUCCUUAGAAUUUUACAAAACAACUAUGAACGUAUUUCUCAGUAACGUUUUAGGUUAAAAAAAAUUUAAAAUAUUCAAUGACAAAGAGACAAAGAUAUGAUGGAGUAACGUUACUUGGAGUGAAUCUUAACCUUACUCCUCAAUCUUUUUUUCUUUUGCCAUUGAAUUUUUUUAAUAAAAUAUAACCUAAAAUGUUAUUUAAAAUGUUAUAUUAAUUUUGUAAAAUUUCAAAAAAAAAAAAAAAGCAUAUUAUUUUAUUAACGGCUUACUUUGGUAAAAAAAAUCCCAUUCCUUACCACACCACUAAUACGGCAGUUUACCUGCUCUUCCUAUGUCCUUUAAGAAACUUCCAUUAGUGUUGAUUUUGAUCACCUCAUUAAAACAUUUACUUCUCAGGAUAUGUUUUUAUCUACCAGUUCGGAUAAGUUAUCCCGCUAUUUAGCAACAAUUCGAAAUAGUUUAAUUCUAUAAAUGUUCUUUGGAUGCAUUCAUAUCUUUAUAUUUAUCAUUAUCAUAUUAUCUGGUAAGUAUCCUUGCCAUUAACUAAUCUAAACUAAAAUAUUAGCCCUUAAUUAAUUGGUAAUUCUUAAUAUAGUAGAGGAACUAUCAGCUGUAAAUCAAUUUCGUAAUUGUUGUAUAGAAAAAUAGCUAUAAGUCUCAUGUGCCGUAAUAUGAAAGGUUCAAGUCAAGUGUGUAUUGACUUUCAUUAAUUAUAUACUUUUUUUUAUUAUUUAGGGAGUUGAAUUAGCCCGCCUUCCACUUUUCUCCUUCGAGAUCUAAUUUCCUGCUCAUUUUUUUCUUGAUGGUCCAACCAACAUUAAAUUCCUACUUUGAUUUCCCACCACUCUUGCUAUAAUAGAAAGUCAUAAGUCAUAACCAAGCACCACGCAAGUUGAAAGUUUAGACCAAUUCAAAAUCCCUUCUCUUAUAUAUAGAGAAUCAUAUUGCUAGCUAUAUAUAGACAUCUCAUCCUUAAUUCCCUACAAACUAGCAAUUACCAAUAAAGUGCAAAAAAUAACGUUACCAAAAAAUAAAGACAUGGACAAAAUGUUGUACAUGAUCGUCUUUAGUGCUUUAGUCAUCGGAAAUAUGGUGCAAGACACGACAGCACAAACGGUGCAUGUGGUAGGGGACAGCAUGGGUUGGAUCGUACCAAGCAAUGGUGCGGUAGCUUACACAAAUUGGACUGCUGGAAAAACAUUCAGAGUUGGCGAUACUCUAGGUAUAUACAUUUAAUUAAUUUAUUAAUUUUCAUUAGAUUAUAUCCUUCAAAUUAAACUAAUUAAUGUUUCUUAUUUUAAUUUUGACAGUGUUCAACUUUGCGACUGACCGACAUGACGUGCUACAAGUAGAAGAAACUUCGUUCGAUGGAUGCAAUUCGCAGAAUGCAAUAGGCACUGCCAUAAUGACAGGACCAGCAAAUAUAACUCUUAAUUCUACUGAUGAUCACUAUUUCAUUUGUACUUUUGGCACACACUGCCAAGGUGGACAGAAAUUAGAAAUUUCAGUUUCCGACGACAGCACUAGUACUCCAGGUACCAACCCACCUACACCAUCUGUUGAUGGACCUACAGGUUCCGUUCCCGGUGGUGUCGUUCCUCCUCCUCCGCCUUCGUCCUCAACGACCGUAUUGGCCAGCUUUGUGCUCAGUCUAUCCGCAAUUGCCUUGGCCAUUUUUCAUUAAAUUGGACCAUUUAAGUAUGUUUUGAGAUUCUUAUAGUUUAUAUAUACGUACUACGAUGUAACCAUACUAGAUUGUAUCGGAUUCAGUUUUGUUUUAAUUGAUGAUUGUAUUUGGGAUAUUUUAUGAGUUAAAGGUUAAAUAUAGGUAGUUUCUUUGCUAUCAUACAUCUAAUGGCCCAAACGUCAUCCCUGACUAAAGUGACAUGAUUGAAUCCUAAUUGCUAAUUGAGUAAAACCCUUUGCAAAAACUUUUGCAACGUAACUACGUGCGUAACAUAACUAUUCUCAAAUUAAGGUCAACGAAACUAUAAAUGUAACGUUGAUUGAGGGUUGAAAAUUGCAAUUAGCUAGCCUACCUCCCGAUUUAAUUUGUUCAAUUUAAUUGAUUCGUUUCUUUGAAAACCAACAAUUUGAUGUGUAGUAUAAUGAAAUUUCAUAUACGAACGUUGUGAUACAUAUCUACGCUUAACUACUCCCACCAUCUCAAUUUGCAUUUUAAUUUGUAUAUGUUUGAUGAGAAAAACUUUACAAUAUAUUCCAGACAAGCAUUAUAUAUUUUAACUUUCUAACACAAAAGACAUUUCUAACUAACAUAAUAGUAUGUUUUAAAAAAUUAAAUGUAUAUUCCCAUAUGUAAAAGAACUGAUACUAAUAGACUUAAUUAAUCGCAAAAGUUAUAGCUUAUUUAAGGAGAUAACAAUUCAUUCCCUCAAUUAACGAGGAGCACUCUAACAACUCUAUGACAUAUAUUUGGACAUAUGUAAUGUGAAUAACUUAAUAUGUGAAGUCCACAUUACAAACACAACAAAAAGCUUUAUGUCUACCGUCAUUGAUAUCAUGUUAAGAAGAAUACUUUUUUCACUUCAAAUAAUAAAAGUAGGCCACGAGGUUAAAAGAUUUUGAUGACUAAAUAUUAAAAUGACAAUACGAUCUCGAUCUCAACACAUGAGAACUAUUUAUUUUUAUUAUUUUUUUAUAAAACAAAAGUGAAAUAUUCUAACAAUUUAAUUUCCUGGGUACAUGUCUCAGUAUGGUCCAUUCAUUGGUGUCCCUUUAUUUACUCUAUACUUGGAUUUUGUGGUCGCAUUUGUAUACGUAUUGUAUUUCAAAAUACGAAAAGCUAUUAAAUGUCUUUUACUUUAGAAAAUUUUAAAAUCCACAAUAGUGGCUCAUUGACUAUAUAUAGUCGUAAAUUACGUACAUGCACGGCAUUUUGUACGUAGAGUACUUUGACGCCAACAACUUUAAUAAAUCAUGUUCUCCUUUCGAUCCAUUUUUACCUGUUAUAUUUUUCUUUGUACGUCUUUUGAAAAUUUAUUGAAGAGAAAAUUAAAUUGUCUAAAUUAUCUUAUUUACUUUUUUAUCUCAUCAAUUCAAAAUUACUUUUUUUUCCCGCCAUAUGAAUUAAUCUCCCUCCACAUUUAUUGAGCAAUGAUGAAAAUGACAACAAAUGUUUAAUAUUACUAUAAUUUUCAAAAAUGAUUUAACCAACUAUUUUUAGUAUGCAAGACAAUUAAAAUGGACUAGAGGUAGUAUUAUAGUAAUUGACAACUAAAAAUAUUUAAAAGAUAUAUGAAAAUGUUACGAUAAAAAAAACAUAACUGAUUUAAAUCUCAAAAAAUUCAAAAGCUAUCAUGGAAUGUAGUGAGUAUAUUUUAAACAGUAGUAAUUGAUGAUGUAAAUAUCUUUAUAUUAUCACACUCUGGAACCUAAAAUUGAUGCAAUUUCUAGAUUUGGAAAAGGACCAUUUCUAGAACAGACAAUACAAAAGCCGUAAGUCUUAAUCAUAGUGUGCAGUUUCACACUGCAUAGUCAUAUCUUUGAAAAUAUGACAUAGCAAAGUGAAUGGAGUUGCCAUAUUUCGAAAGAAACUUUAUUUGAAAUUUUUGGUUCAUUGACCAGUAGUUCAAGCAACAACGUAACAUUAUUUUUCUCCGUUUCAAAAUUUCGUAUACAUAUUCAUUUCAUCAAUAAUGUAUUUGACCCGGCAAUAGAAUCAAUUGUGUAAAAGCUUAAAACUUUCAUAUGGGUAUCAUAUUGUUUAGAAAAAUUAUGGAGGACAAAAAAGUAGAUUGAGGGUUGAGGUCAGUGACGUACACAAGAUUUUUUAUAAGCAGCGUUACCUUUUAAAAUAAAAUAAAAAAGCAGUAUACUACUAUACCUUUUUUAAAACAUAAAAAAAUAUUAUAAUUUUUUCUCAAUGAAUUUUCUUUUUUCUAAAUGUAUUACUUCCAAGCCUUACCCAACCAAGCUACGUACAACUUUGGUUACAAGUGUCACUUAAAGAAUAUACACUCUACGUUUGCUUCUACUUCUUAAUUAUUUGUAUAUACUUAUACCUAUUUAGUAUAUUAUUUUUUUCAACGAAGUGGCCUUCUUAAAUCUGCCCCUGCUUUAGGCGUGUUACAGACGCUCAGCAGUCAACAUUCCCAAUUAGUGUGGAGGUAUUUGUUUGAACACGAAAUUUAAGAGAGAAGAAAAUGUUAUGGCCUAAAUAAAAAAGGAACACUCUAUUAAUAAGGUGACAUUUUACUGAAGUAAGAAAUAUUCGUAUGUCUCUAAUUACUUGUUCACUUUUGAAUUGGCAUACCUAUUAAGAAAAUAAUUAAUGACAUAGUGAAUUUACCUUUUUACCCCUAUUAAUUAUGAAGUGGAUGAAAAGUUCUACAUUUUUAAAAGUAAUUAGUCAUUUAAUUCAGGGUAUAAUAGGUAAAAAAAAUUGUCCUUUCUUGAUUUGUCAAAAUGGACAAGUAAUUAGGGACAGAGGGAGUACUUGAUACUUAUUAGAGCAACUUUCACAUAUAACAAACAUAAAAUUCAUAUUUGUAUGUUAUAGCAAAGUUUGCAUAAUUGCGCUCCAUAGCAAACAUAAAUAUGUAUAUUUCGCUAUACAUAUACAAAAGAAAGCAGUUGUAUAAUCUGCUUUGGUAUACAUAUACAAAAAGAUCAAUUGUAUAAAGUGAGAGAGGCGAGCGAGAUCUGGGAGAGGGGAACGAAAAUAUAUGUAUAUAUACAAUUUUCACGCAUUUUAUACAUUUGCGUUUUUGUAUAAAGUGAGAGAGGCGAGUGAGAGAGCGAGAUCUGGGAGAGUGGCGAGCGAGAUCUGGGAGAGAGGUGAGAGGGGAACGAAAAUAUAUGAAUAUAUACAAUUUUCUCUCGCUUUAUACAAACACAAACACACUUUAUACACUUGCGUUUGUAUAAAAAACGAGAGAGGCGAGGGAGAGAACGAGANNNNNNNNNNNNNNNNNNNNNNNNNNNNNNNNNNNNNNNNNNNNNNNNNNNNNNNNNNNNNNNNNNNNNNNNNNNNNNNNNNNNNNNNNNNNNNNNNNNNNNNNNNNNNNNNNNNNNNNNNNNNNNNAUUUGAAUUAAUAGUUUGCUAUUAUAUACAAUUUUCCCUACUUAUUACCUCCGUUUCAAAAGGAAUAAACCUAGUUUCCUUUUUAGUCUGUUUCAAAAAGAAUUAUCUCUUUCUUUUUUUGGCAACACUUUAACUUCAACUUUCCACGUGACAUGUUUAAGACCACAAGAUUAAAGGAUAUUUUAGUACAUUUGACAUAACUUUAAUUUAGAACCACAAAAUUAAAAAAUCCUUUUUCUUUUCUUAAACUUUGUUUCAAGUCAAAGGAGAUUAUUCUUUUUUAAACGGAGGGAGUGGUAAUUUAGAGAAAAGCUUAGCGUUGGAGUAUGAUUAGGUUAAGAAGUCAGUGGACUAAAUAAUCAUUCUUUUUUUCAAAUUAUACAACUUUUGAUUAGCUGAAUUAGCCAAAUUUUGGAACUUUAAUUUCCACUUUGCAAUUAAUCCAGUCCACCGGCCUAUUGAAGAUGAAAGAUCCAACAAUUGUCUAUCCUUGUAUUGUUAGGUUUCAGACGACUUUUGCUUUUUAAAAAAUCACAUCAAUUCUACGUCUGUCGGUUUAUUAAAUCUGUAAUAAAGCAAAUCAGACUAAUAUAAAGUUGAUUUCUGAUUAGUGAUUAUGAUAGAUUCCUUUUAAUUUUCUCGAUACUUUAUGAUUUAAAUCAAUUAUAUAUUUGUCUAUUUCACAUGGAUAAUAAUUAGACACGAGCCAAAAAUAGAAUUAGUAACAAAGUGUGGAUGCCUAAUGUUGAAAUAGAAGGAGAUAAAUUGGCUUCUUAAUUUGUCUUGUAGAGUUGAGUAGGAGACGAUGUUGUGUUGAAGUAAGUGAUUAUCUCAUAUUAAAAUUUAAGUAACAGAUAACACAUUUUAUUUACUUAUCUAUUACCUUCAACAUGGUUUAAAUCAUAAUGAGAUUCUCCUCCCCCGCCCACAUUCUUAUUAAUUUGAUAACAUGUUAAAAUAUGUAACGACUAUCCCAUCUAAAAGUUUAAGUCGUCAGAGAAAAUAAUAUUAUUUUCAAUAUGCUGAAUCCAUAUGAAAAUUGUAAAAUAUAAACUGUGUUAGAACUAACCCAAGACAUUAGGAAGAAGGGAAAAUUGUAUAUAAUAGCAAACUAUUAAUUCAAAUNNNNNNNNNNNNNNNNNNNNNNNNNNNNNNNNNNNNNNNNNNNNNNNNNNNNNNNNNNNNNNNNNNNNNNNNNNNNNNNNNNNNNNNNNNNNNNNNNNNNNNNNNNNNNNNNNNNNNNNNNNNNNNNNNNNNNNNNNNNNNNNNNNNNNNNNNNNNNNNNNNNNNNNNNNNNNNNNNNNNNNNNNNNNNNNNNNNNNNNNNNNNNNNNNNNNNNNNNNNNNNNNNNNNNNNNNNNNNNNNNNNNNNNNNNNNNNNNNNNNNNNNNNNNNNNNNNNNNNNNNNNNNNNNNNNNNNNNNNNNNNNNNNNNNNNNNNNNNNNNNNNNNNNNNNNNNNNNNNNNNNNNNNNNNNNNNNNNNNNNNNNNNNNNNNNNNNNNNNNNNNNNNNNNNNNNNNNNNNNNNNNNNNNNNNNNNNNNNNNNNNNNNNNNNNNNNNNNNNNNNNNNNNNNNNNNNNNNNNNNNNNNNNNNNNNNNNNNNNNNNNNNNNNNNNNNNNNNNNNNNNNNNNNNNNNNNNNNNNNNNNNNNNNNNNNNNNNNNNNNNNNNNNNNNNNNNNNNNNNNNNNNNNNNNNNNNNNNNNNNNNNNNNNNNNNNNNNNNNNNNNNNNNNNNNNNNNNNNNNNNNNNNNNNNNNNNNNNNNNNNNNNNNNNNNNNNNNNNNNNNNNNNNNNNNNNNNNNNNNNNNNNNNNNNNNNNNNNNNNNNNNNNNNNNNNNNNNNNNNNNNNNNNNNNNNNNNNNNNNNNNNNNNNNNNNNNNNNNNNNNNNNNNNNNNNNNNNNNNNNNNNNNNNNNNNNNNNNNNNNNNNNNNNNNNNNNNNNNNNNNNNNNNNNNNNNNNNNNNNNNNNNNNNNNNNNNNNNNNNNNNNNNNNNNNNNNNNNNNNNNNNNNNNNNNNNNNNNNNNNNNNNNAUGAAAACUUUUUAUAGAAUACAAAUAUGAAUUUUGUGUUUGCUAUAUGUGAAAAUUGCUCGAAGAAGAACUCUCAAUAUAAUGGUUGGGCUUGAUCAGUUGGACCUAUUGUUAUUGGACUGGGUCUAAACAAUAAAAGAAAAUUAUGAAAAAAAGAAAAAUACACACAAAAUAUACAAAAACUAUGAUAUAUAUACCCCAAAAAAACUAAUGUAAUGCGUUGAUUAUUUAAAGAGCAAAAUAUUUAUUCGGGAUUGAGGGGGGGUUGGGAUACAACAUGAAAAAAGAUUGGUAAAUGUAACGUUGGCAGAAGAUAAUGUGGCCUUUAAUACUGCAAAAUUAUGGGUCUUCAUACAAAUGUGUAACACAUGGAUUAUUUUUAUUAUCCUUUUGAUUUUUGAAGAAAUGAGAUAUUUUGUUUUCUUACCAUUUAAACAAAAGAAAAUAAUCUUUUCAAAUCUCUUAUGUGCAAAAAUAAAAAUUUCUUCAAGAAGACGAGAUUAACCCAAAUCAAAAGAUAUUAGAACAAAAAUAACUCAUAAUUGUUGGGAUCAUAGUGCAAUGUCCUAAUUAAAUGUCCAGUGGCAUGAUUAAAAUUCAAAGUCGAUGACAUUAAGGUAUGUCCUCCAUCACAAUCUCGAAUGAAACCUUUUUAUGGAAUCGUGCACCAUGGUAUAUAAAAAGAUAUAUAAAAUUAAAAAAAUAAUUUCUUUCUUUCUUUUAUUAUUCAAUUAUUUUAAUAUGUACUUUCCUCCCAUUCACUUGGAUCAAUACAAGGCAAUAUGUAGCCAGGUAGGAUUCAAACUAAUUAUUGAAUCUCUUUUUAAAUUUUUUAAAAAGAAAUUAUAAAUGAAAGAGGGUCGGUCCUCAGUCCUCACUAACUUGUUAAAGUAUUGGCUAAUAUAAAUUGCUUUAAUUAGAUGAUCCAUUUAAUUAUAGCAUACUUUAGGUUAAAAAGUUGGAUUUGAUUAAAGGUGUGGGCCGUGUGUUAUCUGGCAAGUGACAACUAUCCAGACAUAAGAAUCAUAAUAUGAUCCCCCUAUUCAUCAAAGCGACAAAACAGAAUUAUAUGACUUAAGAAGUAAAUGAAAUAACAGAAAUAUUCGAAUUUGAGUUUAUUCAACUUUUUGACAUGUGAAUCAUGCUAGUAUACUAAUAUAAGAUUUAAAUUCAUUAUUUUACUAGUCUCAUUAAAUUUACUAAUUUACCAAGUAUGUUGUAAAUAUUUUAAGUAUAUAGUGAAAUGCGAAUUCAUCAACAAAUUUUAUAAUUUGAGUCUAUUUUACAGACUCACUAAACAUGUUGUUAUGUCUCACUACCUCACUAAUGAAUUGUCCCUUUUGAUUAAAACAAAAAUUGAGUAGCUCUCAAUAUAUUUUAGAGGUAAAAUGUGACAUUUUUAAUUCCGAACUCGAAAAACUUGAAGAUGGUGGAGAGAAGAAGGUGAAAACUGUGGAAAAUAAGGUUUUGUUUUUAUAGAUUUGGGUGAAAGGGCAAAAUGAUUCUAGCAUACCCAUUUAAAGGUCCACUAUGACAAGGAAAGAAUGAAAAGGAUACUGCAAUAAUUGAUUGAACUAAUUUUAACGUUUCUUUGCGGUUGAUUGGUUUUAAGACAAGUCAUUUAUUAUUGCCAACAUCAAUCUGAACCAUAUACAAUACACUAAAAGGGGUAAUAAUAAUCCUAAUACAAUUUUUUUGCCUUAAAAAAAUUAUUACUAUAAUGCGAAUAAUAUUAUCAACUUAAAAUUACUUUUUAUAGAUAAACAUAUCUUUUUUUCAUUAUUAAUCAUGGUAAAAUAAUUGACUCGUUUUUAUUACAUCAUAAUAAUCCUUUCAUUAUAAUCAAAGCAUAAUAAACAAACAACCCAACUUCAUAACUUCAGCGUCAAAUAUCGUGAUCAUCCAGAAAUUAACAAGCGUUACUGGGAGAGUUACAAUGGACACCACAAGGUUGCACCAAAUUAACGAGUGGAAGAAUCGCCAUACGUAAAACAAAUAUGGAAUAUGUGGCUGCAUAUUAUGCUUAUCGCCUAUGGGAUUAACAAAAGAAUUCAAAGCCAAAUAAAUUUAAAAUGAAAAUAACCUUCACUUUUGCUAUCUUUACAGUUUCCAUUUUUUCCUAAUCUGCAUUAUCUAUAGGAUAAUUAUUAUUCCACUACUAUAAUCAGAGGCCAACGUCAUAUAUUUGCCACGAAUUCAAUAUUUAAGUAAAAUCCAAAAAGGGCAAAUAGGCGAACUUGUAUCAAAGGUGUGUUUUUUUAGUAAUUAAGAAAGUGGAUUAAGAACGGAGAAUUCAAAUUUCAUAGAGAAAAAAUUACUAGAUGAAUUUCUCGUACUUUUAAGCUUUGAUGAACAAAAUUAGUUGAUACUUAUUGUUGUUAGAAGGUUGAUGAUAAAUAUCUCGUGAAAAAAAAACAUCAAUGUUUUUCAGUAACAAUAUUUUUUGUUCCGAUAGCUGAUACAGCAAAACAAUGUUAUACUAUAAAGACAACGCUAAAAAUUGAGAAUAAUUCCAGAUUCUUUUCUCUAAUAAUGGCCAAAUUAUUAUACUUUGAUUCAGUUAGUAGGAUUCCGUAUUUAACAUUAAAGACAAAAAGGAACAGAUUAAUUUUACAAAAAGUUCAAAACUAUACACCAAAUAUAUAUAGAAUUUAAAACUCUUUUAUAGAAAAAAUUAAGAAGAAAAAUUGAGAUCAUCGGAGAUAAUUGGGUCGGCAUCGACCCGAUUAUCAGAAAAAUCAUCAACUUGGAUUUGAUCAAGCACGAGAACUAAUCCCAUGGCGAAGGCACUAUCAAACCCGGGUUUUAUUGAGAGAGAGAAAACGUCUUUUCCAAGCACCACAUGAGCACAAGCAUCCACUUUGCGUCGAAUCUCAGCCACAGAUACCUUGUCGGCGUUGAAGAAUGUGCAAUUUCUCUGUGCGAAUGAUCCUUCGAUCUGAUAUUCCUCCGUCGGAUUGCUGUAUACCUCCACUGUAACGUUAGAUCUUCCAAUUAUUGAAGAUCUACGUACGCUGAAUAUCGGUUUUUUCCCCUCUUCUCCUUCCCCUAAAUAGCCUUCCCACCUAUUAUGCAAACUCGGUCUCUGUUUUCAAAAAUUGCACCGAAAUCAGAAAUUGCUAUAACUGAGUAAACUCGGUUUACCCUUAAUCGCAAAAUCAUAAAAAGUAUUAUUGAGCUAGUGAGUUUAUACCUUACGGCGGACAGUGAGAAGGCAUCUGCCGGUAGCGUCCAUGAGAACGAGUUCACCCAGGUCACGAGAAUCGGGACCGUACGUGUCAACUCGGAAAACUAGCUGGCCUUUGCAGUCGUAGGCAGUGAAUCCAUCGCCGGUAAAGAAAAGAGAAGUUUUCCGAACAGUAAGAUUCGUCUCUUCACUGUGAACAAAUGUAUCUUCAACAACAACUUUACUCUUCAUUUUCUUUUUGAUUUUUGCUUCAAAUCUGACUUUGAAAAGGAAACUAAAAAAGUCUUUAAUUUUCUGAGAAAUCAAAGAAAUGAAAUGUGAUAUUUAUGAAGUGAAGAAGCCAAAAGGAAGGUCUGAGAAAGAGGUACAAAAAUCGCCAGAGACAUGUGGUGUGCAUUUAUUAGUAAAGUGACUGUAUUUAUUACUCCGUUCCUAAUUACUUACUCACUUUUGAAUUGAUACCCCUAUUAAGAAAAUAAUAAUUAACAUAAUCAGUUUACUAUUUUACCCCUAUUAAUUAUGAAGUGGGUGAAUUAAAAACAUAAGAUUUUCAAAAAGUUUUAUCUUUUUCAAAAUAAUUAAUUGAGGAUAUGAUAGGUAAAAAAAAUUAAUUUUUCUUAAUUUGUCAAAAUAAACAAGUAAUUAAGGACAAUGAAAAUAUCUAUGAAGUAAUAUUAAUUAUUGUAAUAUCACGCAUACAGCAAGUAGAGUAAUAUUAAUUUUUUAAUUAACUUAAUUAAAUUUUGCAUGUUGCAUUAUAAUACUAAAUUUAGUGGAGUAAUAUUUUUAAGCACGUAUAUGGGAACCAAAUAUUGUGGAGAUCACAAAUAGCCAAUUGUUUUAUACAAUUCGAAUCUCUAAUGUAAUCGGAAGAUACUAAUAAUUUUGAAAUAAAAUAAAAAAUUAUUUUAUCUCAUGCUUAAUUAGAGAUAUUAAAUAAUUUUUGAACUAUUUAUCUCACUAUUUUUGUGAAAAUGGUGACUGAUAAAAUAAAUUAUUUCAUAUCUAUGAUGAAAUUACUUAUAUACCGUGAAAUAAUUAAUUCUCAAAUAAUUGUUUUCUAAACAAUCGACUCCUUAUCAUUAUCCUCACAAGAGGUCCCAUCUAAAUACUAGUACUAUAAAAUACGUUCACAUUAAUUAAAUAUACUUACACAUACUCUAGAAGACACGUAUAGAAAAUAUAAUCGUCUGGGUCCGAAUAACUUUUUUCGUAACAACUUCAUGUAGCUCGUACUUGUGGGGAUAAUAGGAAUAGUUUGAUUAUAUUUUAUCGUUAAAAUGAAAAUUUGAAAUUUUGUUUGAUCAUUAGUAUAAAUUAAAGUUAUUUUUAACUUUUUAUGAAUAAUUGGAGUAAAAAAGUUCAAACAUAUCUUCGAAGUUUAGUAGGACUCUUUUAACACCAUGUUGAUAUGAAUUGAUGUAUAAUUUUAAUUAGUCUAGAAAAUGAUUUAGGAUUUUCUUGAUAUAAUAAAAUAAGGAAAAAAAAACAAUUGUAUUUCAAUGAUAUAUUAAAAGUAAUAAAUAAAAAUAAAAAUCUAAUUUUAUAGUAGUAGUAAAUAAACAAAAGUGAAUGAAAGGAGCAAUUUUUAAGAGAUGUCUUCAUAAAUUUGAAAAAAAAGAAGAGAGAGUACUUAAUCGAUUAAAUAAAAUAAAUCUUUAUAAUUUAUGUUAUUAAAGUCAGAUAAGGAGCCUAAAUCAAAGACAUUUAUGGAAACUAACUUACCUACUUAAGGAAAUACAAUGCGGUUAGCUGAAGAAUUUCCCAUCACACAUGACCAUAAUUUUUUCGAUGUUCGUAAACUGAUUGAAGUUUUGAUUAAAUUUAGACGAUUACAAUAGUCCAUUUAGAAAUAAUACUUCUAACAAAAAAAAUUCCAUGAUUAAAACUGAAAUUCGUAACUUCUAAUUAAGGGAAAAGCAAUCCUAUCACUAACCAUAAUCUAUUUACUCAGGUUUCAUUAUCAAUUCUAAACCUACUGUAUGAAGUAAAGAUUUUACUAUCGUUGGAAUAUCUAAGAUAAGAAGAUAUAUAUAAAAAAAAAGAAAUAGUGGAUAUUGUAGUUUACUGAACACAUCUAUAAUAAAUAGACAUGUGUCAUAUAUAUAUGACCAAUGCAGUGUUCAAAAAUAUAAACAUAAAUAUCCUGUAUACGAUAAAUAUAUCUAUGUUGGGAAUGAUCACACACUUUUAAAAUUGUGUAUAUUUAAGACAAAAUGAAAAUGACGCUGAUUUCCAACAACUUAAGAAUUUUAAUUAAUUGAAUUGGCAACCAAGAGAGCGACGCAUUGCAUGCAAAUGCAGGUGUCACUAUUUAUUUUUUAUGAAAUUGUACAUAAAUAAUACUCUUUCCGUUCUAUGUUAGAUGAAUACUUUCUUUUAUACUGUGAUUAAGAAAUCAUUAAUACUCUCUCUGUCUCUAAUUACUUGUCCAUUUUUUAAUUGACACACUUAUUAAGAAAAUAAUUAAUGACAUAGUGAGUUUACCAUUUUACCCCUAUUAAUUAUGAAGUGGAUGAAAAGUUCUAUAUUUUUCAAAAUAAUUAGUCAUUUAAUUGAGAGUAUAAUAGGUAAAAAAAAUUGUCCUUUCUUGAUCUGUCAAAAUAGACAAGUAAUUAGGGACAACUAUAAAAGGAAAAGUAGACAAGUAAUUAGGGAUAUAGGGAGUAUAUUGACCAACUUUAUUAUUUUGUCCUUUGUUCAUAUUAAUUAACCUCUUGAAAAAAAAUGGACCUUUAAAAUUUGUUUAAACUUCUAAAGGUCAGAACAUAUUAAUUGUAGGGGGUAAAACGAGAAAAAAAAUUAAUUAAUUUCAUCCUGAUAUAUUAAGUGAUCAAAUAAUACUCUCUUUGUCCAAUAAUAAUUCUCCACUAGUGACUUGGCACACCCCAUAAGAAACUAUAAAUAGAAGGCUAAUUUACUAUAUCCUUUGAAUAUAAUAAAUACAUUGUCUUGAAAAACGUAAUAGAAAAAUGACUAUAAUUAAUGAUAAGAAUAAAAUAGGAACUGAGUGUAAAAUUAUUCAUUAAUUUUAUAAAGUAGACAAAUAUUAUUGAAAAUCCCAAAAUAAUCUAAUAGACAAUUAUUGUUAAACGAAGAAAAUAAUAUGGGACAAAUAAAUUUAGUAAGAUGUCCAUCUAACAUAAGACAUUUUUUAAAAACUUUUUCUAUAGCAUUUAUUUUACGAAAAGUAAUAAACUGAUGUCAGUUGAGCUUUACAAAGGUUAUUAAGAGCUAUCCUACAUAGUGGCGAGUAAAAAUUUAUACCACUUCGAAUAAAUACAGGGAAGAAUUUAUUUCAUUAGGUGUAAUAAUACUUUCUUUGUCUCUAAUUAUCUGUUCAUUUUUUCUUUUUUAAUUGUUUCUAAUUAUUUGUUCAUUUUGAUAAAUCAAAAAAGGAUAAAAAUUUUUUUACCUAUUAUACCCUCAAUUAAUUACUUUGAAAAAGGUAGAACUUCUUGAAAGUCUUAAAUUUUUAAUUCAUCCACUUCAUAAUUAAUAAGAAUAAAAUGAUAAACUCACUAUGUCAAUAAUUAUUUUUUUAAUAUAUGUGUCAAUUUAAAAGUGAAUAAAUAAUUAGAAACAGAGGGAUAUAAUUUUUCACCAAAAUUACAUGACUUCUUUCGAGAAAUUUUAAUUUUUAACUAACUAAUCGCAGAACCAUACAAAAUUAAGGAUUCCUCUGAAAAAAUCAGACUUGUUCAGAAGGAGGAAAAUAUGUGUCCCUAAUAAGAGUUUACCAUAUUAAUUUCUUGGAUGAAUUUGAAUUGCGUGCCAAAUGAAAAAGCAUUGACACGUGUAAAAAAUACUCCCUCUAUUUUUUUUUACUAGUUCAAUUUUGACUUUUAACUUGUCAUUAUUUAAGAAUCAAUAAACACAAUAUUUUUAACUUAUUAUACUUUUAAUUUAUUAAGAGAGUUAAUGUUUUUAAAUAAAAUAAAAUAAUUAUUUUAAUUAUUGCUCGUUCAUGUCGAGUUUGAACAUUUACGACGGAGGGGGUAUCUAAUAACUACGGUGGGCGGUGGUAUUUAUUUAGAGUGAGUUUACUAACUCGGUUUUUUUGAGUUUAGAAAAAAUAUUUGUUUAAACUUUUUCCCCUUAAAUUUUUCAAACUAAAAAAUUAAUGCCGCAAUUAUAUCCUACGAUAGACUACGUACAGUUGACAAAAUUUCACCACUUAUGACAUUAAUAGUGAUAGUGAUAAAACUUAACUUGGUAUAUACAUUGUGAUUUUGUAUUAAUAUUCAAAUUUCAACUGUAACUAUUUGUAGAUUGCUCCAUUUUAAAGUGGGCAGACUUUUUCUACUUGGCGGUUGUGCUACUUUUCUUUGUUUUUUUUUUAGGUCAACCGACUAAUAAGAUUCGGAAAAUCUUAAAGAAAAGAAUAUAUGGUUGUAGUUGAGAAGCCAAUUUGAAAUGUGUGGAGCACCAAUCUGCGCGUUGCCCAAUUGACCCUCUAUGUUCGAAAUUUGGAAGUUUUCUCAAUUUUCUUUCAAAAUAUUAUAGUUCUAGUAUAUGUAAUUAACGCGGUAGGAAAUGCUGACAUUUAGCAAAUACACGUUAAUCAAGUAUCUGUGAAUUGACUUUUCAAAUGGUCAUUUAUAUGUAUUAUAGAAAGUAUUUUUUCCUUUUUUGAUAGAAUAUAUUUUUCUGAAAUAAUAAUUGUUAGAUGGUCAUUGAGAAAUCAACCCCUAUUAUUCAGACGUUUGGUUCUAUCAUUAUUAUUUUUAUGUGGUCUGGAUAUCUUAAAUUGGAAAUAUCGAUAAACAUAUUGGAAAGCUUCUUUUAAUGAAAGCGCAUAUGCAAAAUGUGCGCGGAAAGUAAUAAAAGAAAAAGUAGUCACAUAUGCUUUUUAAUUUGCCACUUUAUAAUUGGACAGACAUGGGAUUAGAUAUUUAUAAUGUUUUCGUGGAUAAUUAUUUGCGCCAUAUAGAAGUGAAGAAAAAAAGGAGGAACUUGUAGAACAUCAAUUCAGGGAGCAUUUUGCCAAAAGAAACAUCUCUUCUUAUAAUAAUUAUCCCAUGCCUUCACUUUUACUUAACCACUUUUAUUUGUUUGAUUAGGUAAAUUAAGAGAUAAUUUAAUAAUUUUUAUUUAUUAUUUAGUACAUUAUUCAUUUCUCAACAUCCAAAUAUAAAUAAGGAUGAUAUACUAAAAUUACAAUUUUAUGUCUUGCUUCUAAAAGAAUGUAUAAAGUAAACAUGAAUGGCGGAGUAGUAAACUUCUUAUACUUCCAACUCUAGAUCGAAAAUAAAAUGAAACCAGGUCAUUAAGAACUGAGUUGGAAAAUUAGAUGAUCAUUUGUCAAUAAUAAUACUGCUGAGCUGGAAUAUUUGUUCUCUUGAGCAAUAGAAUUGUAUGCCUAUCAACAAAUGGCCCCAAACAAGAAAAUUCUGUUCAGACUUGACCUAAAGCCCAGUAACUAAGAAAUGUGGACUCUGCAUGGUACUGGGCUGGGCCUAACAGGUGCUUGCUUGAACACAUGCCCAAUCAUAAACUGGGUUAGCUUGGGCUGAUCCAGCUUUUCAUUCACUAAACCCAGCCUUAAAAAUCCAAGAGUACUCUCUUUCAAUCUCCACAUGAAAAGUAAUAGCUCAAGCUAUAUCUUAGAGUUUCACGUGUGAAAUUUGUAAGUCCAUAAUAAAGGUAUUUGUCAAUUAUAGCUAUUGAAAAAGAAAUGUGGCUUUUUAUGAAUUUUAUCCUCUACAACACUAUAAUCAUAGAAAAGAAAAGUAACACAAUUCCCAAAUGUUGCAAUAUUUAAAGGAAAUGACAACACGUUUCUCUUAAUGUUUUAAAUUUUUGUAAGUAUCAUCAAAUAGCGAAAUCCAGAUCCACAUAGCCUGUUGAGCAUGAGGUAUGGCUAGUAGAGCGUCAGGAUUUUCUUGAUUCAUUGUCAAUGUAAACAAAGGAACAAUGCAUGAUCAUUUAGUUUAAUAAAUCGAUCAAGGAAUAUUAUUUCUUGACUAGCACAGCCUUAAUUAUAUAGGAGUAUCAAAUGAAUCAAUUAUCAUUCCUGCAUCCAAGUCCACUGAUAUCCAAAAAGGUUCAAUGAAACAUAAAUUUAGCAAAUUUCGAUUAUAAUUUUAUAUUUUUCUGUCAAAGUUAUUUUUCAAAUUAUGGUGCAAAUUGCAUUAACUGUUUAGCUUGCAGCAACGCCCACAUUUAAUGCAGAAUCUUCAAAUGAUCCUUUACUGUUUGAACUUGUCGACAUCGACGUUGAUUGAUACAAACAGUUCUUUACAUGCAGAAACACUCAUUCAAUUUGACUGAUGUUAUUGAUAAACAAGAUUUUGAUUGGCUACUGUUUGGCUUUUGCUGUUAAUAGUACGUUGAAAAUAAAGUGACAUUUCCAUAAAGUUAAGUCAUUAAAAGCCGAAUCUUAAAACUUAAAUUCCAGAAUCAAAUUUUUACACACAUCAUUCAAACUUCCCAAAACAUUCAUUAGCUACUUCCCAUUGAUCCCUUCCCUAUGAUCAUAAGUUAAAAACGACAAAAAAAAAAAAAAAAAACUCUAAAUCUAAUUUACACGGUAUCUCAUUUGGCUCCGGUUUUGUUUUAGUGCUGAACUGGGUACCUGACUGCAGCGGCUAGCAGCCUUUGCUGUUCUAUCUGUAGCACGAAACUAUGAUCAUUGAUCAGAACUAUUUAAUGCUAAAGUUCAUUACAAUAACUUUUUAUAGAAACACAGGAGGAAUACUAUCUAACUUAUUAAUGCAUGUCGUACUUUCAUCAAUACAAAUAGUGUAAAGUAGCUAGGAUGAAAAUGUGUACGAUGUUUAAAUUAUUAGGAUUUGUUUGGUAGAGAAAUUUGAAAAGAAAAAAAAAACUUUUCAAAAAUGUUCUUUGUAGUGCAAAAGGCAAAAUUGUUAAAUUUCAAAAUUUAUGAUAGAACAUGAUUUUCGGAAUGUAAAAAAUAUUGGCGGCCAAAACGGUCAAUAAUUACCUGGAAAAGUUCAUGAAGUUUGUUCUUGAGAUAACAAUAUUCAUGCUCAAGCAACUCUAGAGCUCUCAAACAACUGAGAAAAAAAAGAGAAAAACAAUUAUUUUGUUUUCAGUUUUAGUGGUCCUAGUAUAUAGGCGAUUUAUUUUAUUUAAAAAUAAGAAAAAGUUAGUUACUUACCCAAGUCGGUUAUUCUGCUCGGAAGCAACGCGAAAGGCGACGCAGACGUUUCUGACGCGUUUUGCACCAAUGCUUGAACUGCUUCCUAUAAACUGAUUCAAAUGCACUCCCAUUUUCUUGUAGUCCGAAAACUCUCUAUCCAUCCUUUUUUUUUUCGCCAUAUUAUAAAAAGAGUACCACUCCAUCAGUAAAAGAUGAAAAGAAAAAGAAAAGAUAACAAACUCAGAGGUAUUAUAACCCAUAAAAAAAACUCGACUUUUUCCUCCUUUUAUUCCCACGCUUGAUAUAAAACAUGCCCACAAUAAAGUAGUACUCGUAAAAUCGCUUUUAUGAGUUCACCUCUUCGAAACAAUAAUAGACUAUUUUCAAUAGAAUUUCGACUAAAAAACACUCACAACAAGGAUCUGAGAUUUCGUAAGAGUUUUUCGGACUCCUGGAAGUAGAUGUUGACAACUUCGGAGACGAAAUUAGGAGAGGAUUCAUCUUGAAGCUGUUGCAGCUGCAAAAAUUGCUCGUCUAAUACUCCCUAUUUUAUUUUUUUACGUACAAAUAAAAAUCACAUUUAGCAUCUGUGCGAAAAAAACGAAAAUCUGAGAACUAAUAAUAGCAAAUUAUUAGGAACCUGGUGGAAGAGUAACGCGAGCAAGCGAUUCAUAUCACCUCGCAAGCGUUCGACGCCGAGGCCAAGCAUCCACAGAGGUAGACCCGUUUUGGCUGCUUUUUGUAAAUGAGGGAAUAGUAGUAUUAGAGAAGGAAAAGGAGAUAGAAUUAAAUUAGUCUCAGGCUUUUUUCCUAAAUAUGGGGGCGAAAGGAGAGUUGCUUUCGAGAGGAGUGUGUAUGUCGUUUCUUAUUUCAGGGUGUAAAAAUGGCAGUAAUUGCUUUAAUUUGUUUGCAGUCAAGUCAGGUGAGAGGUGAGAGCCGAGACUAUGCUUAUAAAGGAUCACCAUCUGGCGGUGAAUCUGACCCCACCUAUCCUAUGGACUCUCACUUUUACUUUCUUUUUUUUUGUUUUUUGUUUUAUUCGUUUACCUUUCUAAAUUGGCCCUAAAUAAUUUUAAAAAAUCAUGCUCUUCUCAUUUUAAUUUGUUUUUCAUAAAUAUGUCUGAAAAAUUAAAAUUGGAAGUGGAAAAAGUGAUUUUUUAAAAAUAGAUUGAAGAAAUAAGAUAAAGCUAAUUGAAACACUUAAUAUACUAUUUUGGUUAAGUUUUUCGAAACAAUAUUGCCAGUACUGUUUUAUGUUAUGUACUAUUUAUACAAGUUGUUUCUUUUUCUUUUUUAAAAAAAUGAGAAAAAGGAGAUUACAACAUGGUAAAUUGAACUCCUAUUAAUUAAAAAUAUAGUUUGACAAGCAUAAACUAGAAAUACUUAACUAGGGAUGAAAUGACAAAUUAAAGCUAUUUUUCAUUACAUGCAUUCUUAUUUUGUCCAUCCAGCAUGUUCGUUUUUUCAUAAUGCAAGUACCUAGUACAUUUUUUCCUUUCGGAAAAAAUGAAAACAGUGCGUACAUCUUUUCCCUUGUUAUUAUUUCUUCACAUGCUAACCAAAUGUUCCUUUUUUUAUACUUCAAAUUAAUUUACUUCCGUGCAUUUCAAUUUUAAUCAAGUGGAUACUCUCUUCUUUUUAAUCUAUAUGUCGUUUUACGUUUUUCAGUAAUUAAUUAAACAAAUCUUUGCAAUUAAAUUAAGUUAAAUGAAUUAAGCAAUAUAUAACAAUUGCAAAGUAAUGGGAUUGCGUAAUCGAGGUGAGUGUGGGGAAUAAUGUAGACCGGCGGGCCUACUCAGGAUGGUCUAUGUAUAUACAACAUACAGAGUGACUGCAGGAUUAGAGAGUGGCGCAGUCGUUUUUAUUUUUGGUGUUGGAGUUGCUUGGGCUAUACCUAUAUGGUGGGUUAUGUGGUCACCUGCAACUUGCUUGGAACCCCGUUAGAAGACGGAGUCAGAACUAAAAAUUUGGGGUUCUAAAUUUUAAGAUUCAAAUCAGUAACUUCAGUGUGAAAAGUAUUUUCAUAAUAUUUCUUCUCACUAAAUCGUUAAUUAAUUUUAUGAGAAGUAAACAAGUUAAUUUACAUUUAUAUUUAUAUAAUUUUCUAAUAUACAUAUAUGAUCAACGAAAAUGUUACUGAAUUCAUUCGCGAACCCUAGUUAACUUCGCCUCUGACCCAGUACUGAGUCAGUCUCCUCCUCCGCGUGCUGUCCGCUUUUGGUGUAAUGUGCGGCCUUCUUAAGCUUCCUCAAUCCUCUCUCUCCCUUUCACCCGACAACGCCCUGCACCUUCUGACUCUAAUAUCCAUCCCAUCUCCUUUUAUUUUACCACCUAGCACUUCCUCCUUUUAAUUACCUUGUCAUCACACUUUAUACUAGUUAGUCUGGUUUAUUACUAAAUACUCCCUCUGUCCCAAUUUAUAUGACUCACUUUCCUUUUUAGUCAGUCCCAAAAAGAAUGACACAUUUCUAUUUUAAGUAACAAUUUGCCUAUAAAAUGUCUUUUUUACCCUUAAUGAAAUGAUUUACAACCACACAAAUUUCUAUCAUUCAUUUUUUACCACAAGUUUUAAAAGUCUUUCCAUUUUUCUUAAAGUUUGUGCCAAAUCAAAGUACAUCAUAUAAAAUGGGACGGAGGGAGUAAUAAAUAGACAUAGUCUAUUAUUUUUAUAUACAAUUUUUAAGAUCUUAUAUAUGUUUAAUCAAAAUUUAUUUAUAAUUUACUUAUUAAUAGUAAAAAUGCCUAAGGUGAGAAUAUUUAUUUUAUUGGUUUUAUUUAUACGAGUCUCUAUGUUAAUUCUUUGUGGGACUGAAAAUGUCACUGUCUCACCCUUCUAGGCCAAAAUAGUGAAUUUUGAAGCUUUAUUCAUAGUAAACUCAGUGAUCGAAAGUUCUGUAACGUCAGUCAUACUAACUAUUUUUCGUUUUGAAUGAAUUGCCGUCACUUUUUUCACGUUUUGAAUAAAUUGUUUCUUUUAUUUUUGUGUAUGGUUAAUACUUUUUAGUCAGUCCCAAAAAGAAUGACACAUUUCUAUUUUAAGUAACAAUUUGCCUAUAAAAUGUCUUUUUUACCCUUAAUGAAAUGAUUUACAACCACACAAAUUUCUAUCAUUCAUUUUUUACCACAAGUUUUAAAAGUCUUUCCAUUUUUCUUAAAGUUUGUGCCAAAUCAAAGUACAUCAUAUAAAAUGGGACGGAGGGAGUAACAUAAUUAGUUUUAUACAUAUAUCUCAAGAGGAUAGUAUAUAGUAUACAAUUUAAUUAUACUUUGUGAAAUUAGAAAAAAAUAUUUUUGAUAACCAUCGAUUUUUAUAUAACAUAUCAAACUUAAAUGUCAAAAGAAAAAGUAACAAUAAAAAAGAGAUGUUAAAAACAAUAGGAAAAUAGAAUGUUAGGGAUAACAAAUUGAACAGUAACAAAUAUUACUCCUCGGUAUGUUCAUAAAUUAUUUUUCUUAAAAUAAAUAAAAAUUGUAAAGUUGAAUUAUAUAUUUAUACAAAAGAAGUACACUAUUGUUUAAUAAGAUAAUAAGGGUUGUUUGAUUGGAAACAAGUUAUCGCAAGAUGGAAUAACUAUCCAUCAUUAUGAUAUACAAAAUAGUAUGAUAAAUUAUUUCAAACAUGACAACAAAACAAGAUAUACAAAUUUUUUAUCCAUAAUUAUUUAUUACUCUAUCACUAUUUAUUUUUAUAUGUUGCGCCAAGAAUUAGUGAGCCUGCCUUUGUACACACUCACUCUACAUACUGCCAAAAUGUUAACCACACUGUAUACGACUGUGGUUUUUCACUUUUCAUCUGACUCCCAAUUUUGUCCUUAACGGAGUAACCUUUUUUCAUUUUUUAGAGUGCAAAAAGAGAGAAUUGUUUGUUUAUGCCACUACCUCCAUGCUCACCAGGUCUUGGAUUUUGGCCAAAGCAUUAACUUUCUGGUCACUGCUAAACAAUGCUACAGUCGCAAUGUUCUUCACUAUGUAACAGCUGAAGUGAAGAUGUGGCAAGCUGGCUCCUGCUCCCUGCUGGAAAGUUAUAUUAAGCAAAUUUAUUAAAUAAUGAAAAUUGGAAUCAUAUAAACUAAUUGAAAUGUGAUAGAAACUUAUGUUCGGUUUCAAUUCAAAUAUUUUAGUUUGAUUGAAUACGUAACUUAAGGUCAAAAUCUUAUUAAAGAGAUGGCGAGUAAUUCUUUAAAUUUUGUGGUACUAUUAUGUUUGUCAAAUAGAUGGCUGAAAUUAGAAUACUUAGGUACAAUCAACCUAAAAAUAAAAGUAAAAUACCUAAAUUGGAUUGGAGGAAAUAAUACUCAAGCUAGUUGUUACUCCAAUACUAGUAGGCUUAGUUUUUUAGCAAAUGCAAAUUCAUGAGAAAUUUAUAUUAUAUAACAUGAAAUUUGUUAGUGAAACGCAAAAAAAUAGAUUGUUACUAAAAUGCUAGAAAAGCUUUCUAACUUUUUCUUGUAAAAAAAUAAAUAUAUUUUUCUCUUAGUGAUUCAAUCAAUAUAUCUAUAAAAAUAAUCAAUCCAAAUUGUUUUUUUGUGAAAUUUUCAAUAAAGAAGUAGUAAUUUUUUUUAGUGGUGCAAGUUCUAUCCUUUUAUAAUGUGGUGAGUAGCUAAAAUUGACAAUUCUUUUUAAUUAUUAUUAAAACACCAUAAAAGUUUCGAUAACCGAACAAACAUUUCCCAUUCUUUAUCAUAUUUUUAUCCCAAACAUUCUAAAAAUUACUGCAUGCUUGGAAUUAAAAAUAUCAAACUUCCAUAGCUUGGGAGAUGAACCCUUACACAAAUAUUGAUAAGUUAAAAAAUACAACACUUUUGAAGACGCCCAUGUCCAAAAUGCUUCUCCAAUUUUUUAAUAUAAAUGCAUAAACUUCAUAAUCAUGCUUUAUGCUCCCGUGCUUAUUUACUGUGGCUGUUUCUCCAUUCAAAUUACAACUUUCUAAAUGUUUGCUAGUAGUAUUACUUCGUGGCGUCGUUUGGAUUGAUAUAAAAUUUAAUAGAAGAUAUUUUAAGGUAUUAUACAUAUAUAUGCCUUUUAAUUUGGUCUUAGCCAUAAUUUUUAUUCUCUCGAUUUUUGAUGUGUACAAGUGAAUACUUAAGUUUAUAUAAUAUUGAACAAUUAGACACAUGUGUUCUAUCUGACAUAAAAUACGUGGAAACAUGUAUCUACUUGUUUAAAUCAAUCUAAGUUCAGGUGUGCCCUACUUAUGAAAAUUUAAAGUUGGAAGACAUAAACAUCAAAUGAGGUCAAGUUAAAGGGUGCAAACAAAUUAUAGAUAUUUGUGUGUGGAGUAUAACUGAUUUAAUUGAUGAUAAAAAUCAAAUUGUUCUAAAUUAUGUGGGGUUACAUUUUUUGUGACCAAACUAAAAAAUGUGCCACAAAAAUUUAGACGGAAAGAGUAUAUUAUAAUUAUUGACAACUUAUGAUAUCUUUUGGCCUAGAAAUUCUAAAUGUAUACUUGAAAUUAAAACUUUAGGCAACUAGUCAAUAAUCUAAUAAUUCGUGCGCUUCCUAAAAGUUUAAUUAAUUAGGACACAAUUGCGUCCUCUUCAUGUCACGUUUGUGCUUCAAAAUAUUAGUGGCAUUGAUACAUUGCUCGAGAUCACAAUUAUUUUGCCUUUUUAUUGUCUGAUUAGCUCUUAUGAGUGCAAUAUAAUACAGAAUUCAAUAGAAAUGUAAUUAUUUGUCUACCUAUAUUCUAUAGUCAUCCAAGGUUACUCCAUAGUCUCAUAAUUUCAUUUGUGAGAAUGCGGGUAACUAAUUAUAGCGCUUUCGUUUUUUUUAAAUAAAUAAAUCAGAGUGAUAAAUUAAUGAUUAAAUUUUAAUGGGUCGUGAAGAGAAUGUCUGUUAAUUACAGUACAACUAUGGUGUUUAUUCCCUCGUAUUAUUUUUACUUGUCACUUAUUUCUAAAAUAAAUUUUUAUUUGUCACUUUUGAUAUAUCAAGAAAAGAUAAUAAUUUUUUUCCAUUAGCAUGAAACUUACUCUUUCCGUUCACUUUUACUUGUCAUUUUUCUCUAAUAUAGAUUUUCAUUUUUACUUGUCAUUUUUGACAUAUCAAGAGUGGAGUAAUAUUUUUCCAUGUUUACCUCAACAUUAAAUACUCUUUCUUCAAAUCAUUUUUCAAGACUUAAUACUAAACAUAAUUUAAUUAUGGAUUGUUUGAUAAAUACCUAUAUCAAUAAUCAUUUUCUUAAUGGGUGUGUCAAGUCAAAACGUGACAAAUAAAAGUGAAUAGAGGGCGUAUUUUUCAAAUCAUUUUCUCAGACAUCAUUUAAUAAAAGAUAUUUUAAUAAAAUACUUAUAUUAUUAAUUAUUUUUCUUAAUGGGUGUACCAGAUCAGACCGUGACAAGUAAAGCGAAUGAAGGGAAUAUAUUUUAAGAUUAGUGUAGUGCAAAGAUAAUUGAGACUAAGAAAAAAUUGUAUGUUUCCAACUUAGUCACUAUGAACAAAAGCAUAAUUUUAUGUUGAAUGAAGGUGUUUUUUUUUAUAAAGUGUUGGACUAUUUAACUAAUUUGAAGUUGCUUAAGUAACAAAAUGUUAUUGACUUGUUAGGUCGUUGUAUUCAAAUGGGGAUAGAUAAAAAAUCAUUCUAUUGGAUUGAUGUAUAUUAUGCUGGAGUAGGCAUGAAUAUAAAUUUAUUUAUUUUUGUCAUUUUAAUUAUCAAUUUAUUUAUUGUAAUUUGUGAUAUAUUCAUCAAAGGACUAUGGACUUGAUCGAUGUUCAUUUCUGAUCACUCUAAAUAUUCUUUUGAUUGAUAAUAUAUUUCACAAAAGAAGUGUACAAUUAUUUUUUUGUAAAAACGUAUCUAAUGUAAAUAGUUGAACAAAGAUGUCAUAAUCUAUAAUUUGAAACUUCUAUAAAUUUAUUUUUAUAAUGUAGAUGUGAGCUUAUAAGCUCAAUUGGUACCCACUACCCAACUUUGGAAUGUUACUCCGUAAAUAUAAACUUGAUUUUUUUAGUUGUAGUGUCAAAUAAUUUGUAUUCAUAAUUUGCAUCCUAUCGGUGAAUGUUAUCGUACAUGUAAAGCAAGAACCUUCAAAAAAUCUCAAAUAAUUCAAUUCAAAUUAAUUUUUCUUUUCGGAGAGGAUACAAUGACAUAUUUAGUUUUUUUCAAAAAAUAUUUUUUAUCAUCAUUCAAUCUUAUAUGAAAUAAUAGACUCGUCCAGAAAUCAAACAUAUCCCCUCCCAGGUUUUGUCAUUGUCGUUUGCCGACUAUUAUUAUAAUAUAUUGCGAUUUUCAUUAUAUACAAAGAAAUAACUCAUUUCGGGUUUCAAAGAAGAAACUCAUACCUAUACAUAUAGAAACUGUUCGGAGCAACAUGAUAAGAAAAAUAAAUUAUCAAUUUGAAAAUGUCAGAAAACAGAAUUUGUGAAUUUGUCGUUUGAUAUUUCUACAGUUUGAUGUGAAUUAUAUGUUUGACUGAAGUUUAAACAAAAAUGAAUGAACACGUAUAAAAUGUAAAUUAUCACGUACAAGUAUCACUUAAAUGGUUGUCCACUAUCUCUACCCUUCAAUCUCCUUAACAAGAGUUUGUCUUGCAAUUGAUUUAAAUGGGCCCAUCUUCCAAGUUGUUCUUCUUUUUGAUUGGAUGAAAUCAAUUGUUUGUAAAAUAGGCCCAACCCUCAUUCCAUUGACUCAUUAUAUGUUCCAACAACCGUUUUCAUACGUAAAGAUAUAUAUUAUUUAGACGGAUACAUUUUACGAAAAAGUAUAUUUUUCUCAUUGUUUGAGACUUGCUCACAUUUUAUGAUAAGUAUAUUUUUCUCAUUGUUUGGACUUGCUCACGUUUUAUGAAAAGUACUAUUAUAUUUUUUCUCAUUAUUUGGGAAAAGUACAUUUUUUCUCAUUGUUUGGGACUUGAGUUAUUUUGUAUCAUAAUAUAACAACAAACCUAGUGUAAUAUUGUGGGAUAUAAACUUACCAUUCCUCUUUGUUUCAUGUCCAUUUAUCAUUCACCCAUUUUCAUUUAUUCUCCCCCCGUAACAAGAGCUAACAAUUUGAAUGCAGCAAGGCUUCAGUGUUGCAAUAAGUUUUAUGGAGAAUCUAUAGGCAAAUGUAGCUUUCAUUCCAAGUAGUUACAAAAUGGAGGAGCAGAAGAAAGAAGCUUCACCCACGUAGUUACAGUAAUUAGUCACUCAAGAAUCUAAAUUUCUCGUGAUACAUAUUGUGUUUUCCCUAACUGUCAGCUAAUGCCAGCCUCUGUUUAUGAGUAUCAGUUGGCAACUUGACAUCAGUGGCCAAUCCAAUAGCUUGAAGAAAUCUUACGACAUACCAAGUCAUGUCAAGUUGCCACCAUUUUAAUCCAUGCCUAGCCGAAUACUCAAACGCAUGGUGGUUGUUAUGCCAACCUUCUCCAAAUGCAAGCAAUGCCACCCACCUAUAUUAUACAAAUUAUUUUGAUGAAGUCCCCAAAUAUGGACAAAAAGAAAAGAAGCAACAAGACAAAUAAAUUUAAACGUUUAUACACUAAAGUAUAAAACUAAACAAGCUUACCAGUUGUUCCUUGAUAAGUCACCAGUAUUCCACGCCUGAUUUCCCCAUACAUGGCAUGCUGAAUUUACUAGCCAAGUUAUGUGGUAUACCCACACAAUUCUCACCCCCUGCACACGCAGGGAAUUUAGCAAUUGAAUUUUCAGAAUCUCAUUGCACCAAAUGCAUAUAACCCAGAAUUUUGCCUAUGUUACUAUCAGAUAAUCAUCCAAGUACUAGUUUUAACUUUUUCAAGACUCUUGCAAGUUUGAUUUCGGAAAGUCAUUCUGAUCAAUUCUUGAAAGGUACUAGAAUUUAUCUUGGUUAACUAUUUCUUUCACCCUUCAAGGGCAGAACUAUCGUUGAACAUCAUUUAACUACUACAGUUAAUUACCAGUGAGAUCCAAAAGACAUGUUGUAUGGAACAGCAACAAAUUACACUUGAUUUUGUCCAGUAGUUCGUUAAGAAAACAAAAGACCCUACCAACAGAUAACACAGAAACUUUCUUCCACAAAAUUGGCUCACAACUUGAGUUAGGCAGGGGAAAGAUCCAAAACCAUUAGGAGAUUUGACACAUGAAGAAAACAGUAGUCUAAUGAGAGAUGCAACUGUAGUUUUCUUCCGCAAAAUUGGUUCACAACUUGCCAUUGGGAGAUUUGACACAUAAAGAAAAUACAAUACACAAAAUCGGGUCACAAACUAGGCUGGUGGACAUAUACAAACACAUUUGGAGAUUUUAACUGAUAACAAAGCUUGCUUAACAAUAUCUUAAAUACCCAAAAGACUAAAAAGAAAAACAAGCUUAUUCAAAUUGUAAAUUGUAUUUCCUCAUUUGUACACAUGAUAUCUCAAUCUUUAUGGUAGUGUUAUGUGAAAAAAUGUAAUUUUUAUCAACCAAUUUUCAUUUUAUCCCAAUUAAUAGUUUUCCCAAAAUGUUAAAAAGGGGAAAAUGAAAGCUUUCUCCAUGAAUGGAGUUGUGCAAACUAAGAAAAGCUCCACUUACCAUCCCCCAAACAAUGUAAGGAAAUCCUCCCAUUGCAUACAACAGAGCUGCAAGCGCGAUGGGAUGGAUCACAUAAGUAUCACGAAUGAACUGAUAGAAACCUUGCUUCUCCAAAUCCCCCACAUUGUUGGGCUUCCCACACUACACAUAAAUAGAACAUCAGUACUCAAGAAUUCCUUCCAUUUCAUAAGUAGGCAAAUAGAUUAUAGAAUGAAAAACUUACCCUCUCAGUAAGGGUGUUGGUAUCAAACAUCCAACUCAUAUGACUGAACCAAAAUCCUUCAUAAGGACUGUGAGGGUCUUUCUCUGAAUCACAAAACUGAUGGUGGUACCUAUGAGUACUCACCCAAUCAAUUGGAUGUCCCUACAAUCACACAUGACAUAGUAAAUUCAAAUGCCUAAUACAAGAAAAUAAGAAAGAAUACUUGUAGUGGGUUUAUUGAAUUACCUGAAGUGCUUGGGCACCACAAUAGGCAAAAAAGUACUCAAGCCAUUUGGGAAGUUUGAAGCUUCUAUGAGAGAGGUUUCUGUGAAAAGAAAGUGUAAUACCCAAAAGUCCAGUGAUUAUAUAUAACCCAAAUGCAAUCCCAAGAGCAGCGUAAUUGAAAGUAAAUGGUGCAAAUAGACAGAGCAAAUGCAUAGAAACCACCACCGCAGCUGAGGCCAUAUCCACUGAAUUCCAUUUCCUACCCCAAAGCACCUCCCUAGGCCGGGUCACCACUACAUCAGAAAGAAGAAUCCUCUUACAGUUCGAUUCUCUUUCGUUUUCUGACACGGGCUGCGUCACUGCUGCACUCACAAUUGGCAUUAGCAUUACUCUUCUGCUAAAUCUAACUUUUCCUUCCAGUCCAUAACAAUUCCACUUGUUAACCUCGCCAAUUUUUGUUGUUAUUGAAGUAUAAGACAAGGAAUUUACAUUUUUGGUUGUUUGAGCAGGGAAAGUGCUUCUCCCCGGCCUGUGAACUGCUUGGGGAAGCGGCGAAAAUGGGUAAGGCUUGGACUUAGAGGGCGGUGGUGAUAAGAGGGCCAUUGUUGGGCUUUUGGCAAUUGUUUGGUUUGGGGUUUGCUUGGUUUAUAAAGUAAGUUUGAGUUAAUGGUGGAGAUUUAACGUCAAGUAGGGGGAAAUCCAAGUUGGGCAAAGAAGGUGAUAAGUAACUGAUAAGGCGGUGGGGCAUUUACAAUUUGGGAAUCGAAUUAGUGAGAGGCCAUUGCUUGCGUAGUAGAUUUUUUGGGACCGCCUACCUGGCUACGUCUGUGAACCAAGAUUUUCGGGUCAUUUCCUCCUCCUUUAAUUUUGUCAGAGAUAUUACUAACUUUCUGCGAACGCAGAGUUGGUUUUGUUUUGGGUUUGUGUGGUUCUGUUUUUAUACCUCUCAUGGUGCGUUAUCCAUUUUGAAAUAGUCUCUAUCUACUCUUUCUGCCCAACAAUGGAAAGAAUUAGAUUUUUUACCGAUGGGGUUCAAAAUAUAAAGAGAUAGGUACAAGAGCCCCUUAAGAUAUCCUGGCUCCCUCCCCCCCCCCCCCUUNNNNNNNNNNNNNNNNNNNNNNNNNNNNNNNNNNNNNNNNNNNNNNNNNNNNNNNNNNNNNNNNNNNNNNNNNNNNNNNNNNNNNNNNNNNNNNNNNNNNNNNNNNNNNNNNNNNNNNNNNNNNNNNNNNNNNNNNNNNNNNNNNNNNNNNNNNNNNNNNNNNNNNNNNNNNNNNNNNNNNNNNNNNNNNNNNNNNNNNNNNNNNNNNNNNNNNNNNNNNNNNNNNNNNNNNNNNNNNNNNNNNNNNNNNGCUCCCCCCCCCCCCCCUGAUUUGAAGUGACAAGGCUACAUUAAUAACUGAGUUCACCGUUAAAGUUAUCGGGUUAACUAUAUUAUCUGUUACUCGUUCUUUUUCUAAUAGUAAUGCCAAUUCCUCUGCCACAUUCACAUAGUUGGUUUGUCUCUUGUUUACUUUUUUUUAAUGAUUAAUUGUGAAGAUAAACUCAUUUUUAAGGAAUUUUCGUGAUCUGUGUAUGAAUCGAUGUACUUUCAUUUGUAAUUCAGAGUAGCAGUUUACAGGUAACUGAUUAUUGUUGCUUCAAUAAUGAAGAUCUAGGAAUUAGUCACUUGUUUAUGAUGAGUGACUUGGUCUAACAUGAGCAUUUUAGGUAUCUCUGAGGUACAAAAAGUUGAUAUUCAGGGGAAGGAAAAACUGAUAUAGAUUUUUAGUAGUAAUCUGCUCUAGCAAUUACUUUAUUAAGUUAUUCUAUCACUCACGUAUAAAUAAUCUCCCUAAUAUCUCUAAAAUUAUUAUACCUUACACCUCUCAGCAAACUAUUCCUAAAAGUUCGGAGUUAUAUUAGAACUAGUAGUCUAUUACAGUAUAACCUCACUAAAUUAAUACUUGAUUAAUUAAUAAUCGCUCUAAGAUAAUAAUUUUCUCCGGUCCCGACUUGGGCCAAUAGAAAAAAUCACUCAUUUCGAUAAGAUAAUAAAAUAAUAUAUUUUUAAAAGACUCCUAUAUAAAUAUAUAGUCCCAUUAAUAUUAUAAAUUAAUAAUUCUUUAAAAGUACAAAUAUAUCUAAGAUAAUUGAAUGAAUAUUAUUCUAUUAUGUUCUGUUUUUUGUUAAAAUUUAAAUCUAGUUGAAUUUCAUCUCUAACUUUUCUUAUUGCAUCCAAAAGUUUUGAUGUUGUCUUUUCUAAUUGCACCAUAAAAUUGUGAAGAGUUAUAGAUGUGAUAGGUGUUUCCUUACGCGUAACUGAUUUCAAAGGUAUUGUAUCAUCUUCAACUUUAUCAUCAACAUUAUUUCUCCAAUGAUUCCAAAAUUUGUUUAAAGCUUUGGACCUCUGAACAUGUAUCAUUUUCAUUCAUUCAAUGAGUUAUUAAGGUUCAUUUUAUUGCGGUAAUCGAGAUCAAUAAUCAUGACCUCAAGUUCACGAAUGACAUUUUCACAAGCGGGUUCUUUCAAAUUCUUUGAGAUGUCAUCCCUAAACAAUUUUUUCGGUGUCGAAACACUAUUUAAAUUAAUAAAUAUUAAUUUAUCGAUUAAAUAUUAUCACUAUAAAAUAAUAAUAUUUUAUGGUCUCACCUAUAUUAAUUUAGAGAGAUUUUAGUGUAUAUUCAGCUCUCUUCGUACAGUUCCAGUCUCUUUUUUUUUAUAAUUAUUUUUAUAACUAGAGCUACAUGUGAAUCUAUAAUACUUACAAGACAGGGCACAUAUUAGCAACUAAUUUUUUUUUACUACUUCUUUAGCAUAGUUUCUGCACAAGUUAUUUUCACUCUUUUCAAAGUGAUUCAUAAAUGCUGCACAAUGAACAUGGACGACUUAUUGAUGUAUUUUAGGUAAUCUGAUUGUUGUAAAACUCUUAAUAGGCGUUUGGCCAUGCGAUACCAUAUGAGAUGGAAUCAGCGUUUGGACAUGCGAUUUUAUAUUGAUUUCAUCUCAUAAUUUCAUAUCAUGAGAUGUGAUUCCAUAUUUUCCAAAAGUCAUGAUAUGGAAUUAUACGAGAAUUUCAUAUCAUGAUUUGAGAUAUUUUAAUACAAAAAUUGAUCCACGAGUUUAUAUUUUGUUAAAAUAACCCCCACAUUUAUAUCUACUAACCAUUUAUUUCAUAUGUAAAUAAAAUUUAUAAUCACAUCGCAUUGUCUUGGAAGCACUAUUUUUAUUACUCUUACAAACAUUAUUUUUAUGAAGUGCAUUCUAUAAUGCUUUUAAUUUAUUUUAUGUUCACUAAAAUAAUAUUGAUGUAUUUUUUAUUUGGUAGGAUUGUGUUGGUGCGAUUGAUGGAACAUUUAUAGAAGGGGAGGUUCCCAAAGUGGUGCAACAAGCAUAUCGUAAUCACAAAGGAAGAACAUCACAAAAUGUCUUAUGUGCGCUUGUGAUUUUGAUAUGCGAUUUAUCUUUGUUGCACAUGUUGAACCAACGUCACAAUUUUCAUUUCCGCCACAUGAUAACUUUAAAUUACAUCCUUAGAAUAAAUAUUAUUUAUUUACACAAAGUUGUUUCAUUUACGUCACAUAUGCUUUUAGUAAUUCUUUAUAAAAUGUUUGUUGGUAGAUAAAUAUUAUGUUAUUAAUGCUGGUUUCUGAAACACAAAAGGAUUUUUAGCUCCAUACAAAGGACUACGCUAUCAUUUGCAAGAUUACCGAGGAAGUGAAAGAGAGCCUCAAAAUCCCAAAGAACUGUUUAAUUAUAGGCAUUCAUCUCUGCGCAAUAUGAUUGAACGGACUUUUGGAGCUUGAAAAAAUAGAUUUAGAAUACUGAAACAAGGCAUGAACCAUUAUGAUAUUGAUACACAAGUGAAAAUUGUCAUAGCUUGUGCACUGUUACAUAAUUAUUUGUGAGAAUACCAAAGUACUAAUGAAAUAUUUAUGGUCUAUGAGCAUGAAAAUAUAGUUGCGGAUGAUAUUGACCAACAAAUGGCUCAAAGUAACAAUGUUCGUUCGUCUCCUCGGUCACAUGAUUGAGAAAUGCUAGUUCAACGUGAGGAAAUUGUCUGUACUAUGUUGGAGGAUUAUUAAAGACUAGUCCACUACGAUUUAUGUUCAAUUUUUUUUUAUUAAAUUAAAGUUAGAUGAAACAAUUACUUAAGUGGAGAACAAAUAACUUGUAAUAAUUUAUUAUGCGAUUUUAUAAUUUUUUGUUUAUUUGAUAAGAUUGAAUAAACAAUUGGGGCUAUUUUAAUAGUUUUACAACUUAAGAAAUUUUUAUGUUUAUGAGAAAAUAUAAAACACAAAAAUUUCAAAUCGCAUGUCCAAACAAAACUUCAAUUUCAUCUCAUCUGAUGGGAUUUUUAUGUUUAUGAGAAAACAUACAACACAAAAAUUUCAUAUUGCAUGUCCAAGCAAAACUUCAAUUUCAUCUCAUGAUUUUAUAUCAUGAUGCCAUAUCAUGAUUCUAUAUCGCAUGGCCAAAUGGCCCUUAGCAUUACCCUUAAUUAAACUUAAAAACUUGAUAUAGUUUAGGCUAAUACUCUAUAUAUUUGUGCUUCGAGGAAAGGCUCAAAAUAGUCCCUCAUUUUUGGGUUAAGGCUCAAAGUCAUCCUUGAGUUUUCACAUGAAGCACUAAUAGUCCAUCAUGUUUGUAAUAUUGGUGCACUUUUGAUCCUCGUUCAAAAUUUUACCUAUUUUUUAACAUUGAUUUUAUCCUGGUAUUUAGUGGACACAUCACAACAAUUGUUGGUUGGGAAUUGUUUUUCUUAGUAAAAUUAAAGUAGUUGGGAACUUGUUAUGUUGACGUACAAGUCAGUGAUUUAUAAGUAAAGAAGGAAAAACAAAAGCAGAACCAAUUGUCAAAAUAUAGGAUUACAAGGCACUUGUUUGUUUUUGUAAUGUAAUUCUUAUUUUCGAUUCUCAUACGACAAGUAUCUACUGGUAUAGCUUCAACAUUUAUUAAAUCUUCUUCCGUUUCAAAUUAUUUAUGAAAGCAAAAUUAUUAUUUUUUCCCCAAAUGUUGACUUUUUGAAGUUGUUAAUUUAAUAUUUUUUUAGAUGUCUAUUAGAUUUUCUACUCAUUUUUGUUAAUAGGUUUCAAGGUGAUUUUUAUAAUUGCAUAUAUACUCAUUAAUAAAUAUACAUAUAAAUUGAGUGAACAUUUAACAGAGAGAUAUACCUUAGAUAUAUAUAAGAUUAAACUAAUAAAAAAUUUCCUCAUAAUUAAUACUCCUUAUCUAUUUUUCCAUUUAUAUUAUUUUAAGAAAUCAUAAAUAGGAAGGAUAGUUUUACUAGUUUACCUUAUAAAAAACUUUUUUAACUUUACUAACUUUGUAUACACUUUUAAAAAAUAAUUAUAAUUAUAAGGUUAAAAUGAGAAAAAAUCAAUUCAUUUUACCUUGAUUUUAUAAAUUGACAAGUAAUUUAGAACAUCUAUUAUUAUUAUGUGGACAAUUAAUAUAAGAUACAUCAAAUAUUUCUUAUAGGUGUGUAAGGGAAAAAAAUGCAGAUAAUUUAAAAUGGAGAAGUAUAUGUUUUUGAGAAUAUCCACUACUAAUAUAUAAGAAGGAAUAGGCACACACGUCUCGGUUGACGUGUUUGCUUUCCGUAAAUAUUCACUAAGUUCAAAAUAUCACAUGUGCCACAUAUAUUAUUUCAAAAAUACAUUUAAAAUAUUGUAAAAAUAAUUGACAACAAAAUUAUAAAAUUAAAACAAAAAAAAAGAGAAACUUGCUUAAAUAUACUAUAUUAAGAAAAUAUUUAUCAUUUAUAGUAAUAACAUUUUUCUUUUCACUUGAUCACUUUUAAUACAUUUCUAAUACAAUUUUAAUCCAUAUUACAGAAAACAAUUUAUAAAACACUUAUAAUGCAAGUUUUAUUUAUAAAUAAUAUAUUUAUCACACAUUUUAAUACAAUGUGUCAAUUUCUUACCAAACAAUCAUAACAUAUUUUUAAACAGUUAUAAUACAUAUAUAUUGCAUACAUAAUUAACUUUUAAUACAUAUUGGAAAUUUAUCAUAGUAUUGUUAUGUAUUGUUAUAAAUGGUAAUAAAUAAAAAAGUAUCGCUAAAAUUAGUAAUUAUUUAUUAAAAUGUACUCAUCCAAGUAAUUUUUUCAAAAAAGUAAAUAUAUAAUAAAUUUGGAAGUUAUGAUAGUAGCAAAGCAUGGAAUUAAAAAGAAUUGAUUUGAUAAAAAAGUAGGGUUAAAGAAAGACUAAUUUUGAUAAUUGUGUAUCAAUCCGUACCAUUAAAUGUUCGUUAAUUCAAGAAUUAGUGAUGGAUCUGUUCUUGGACGGAGAAGACUUGAUCAACCCAUGCUAAUAAAGUGUUAAUUCAUGUUGUGUGCGCCGCAAUCCACCUUAAUUAUUGCUUUAUGUAUGAUCCAAGGUGGAUAUCGAUAUCAUGGGCUUCGAAGUCUUAAUCCAACCAUCAACAUGUUUAAAUGAUUAUGAAAAGAAGACUUCAAUUCUUCAAAAUCCAUAAUAAAUUAAAAUGGAUGUUUACAAAGAAAAGACCAAGAUUCAAGAUAUCCACAAGCUCAAAUUAAGUAAAUUGGAUGGUGGGUUGUGAUGGAAUGAUUGAGAUUCCUUCACUCGAUCUCAGUUUUGAGAAUUAGGGAAGGAAGAAUAUCCACAACUCUCAAGAAAUGAACUCUGCAAUAUGAGAAUCAAAUUAAAUAUGAACAUCAAACAUCGGAUGAAAAGGAGAGAAAAAAAAAGAAAAAGACUUUAACCGUGAUUAUAGUCCCAACUCGUGAUGGCGAGAUCAGUUGAGUCCACAAGAAUCACGAGUGUGAUCCUUUAUUGCGAUGGUAGAGUUGCCACAUUUUAUAAUUCGGCCCAAUCAUUUUAAUGCAUAGUUUAAGGAUUUUUUUUUGGAUAUUUAUAGUCCUAAUCAUUUUAAUGCCUAGUUCAAUAAUUGAAUUGGUAAUGAGAAGAUUACUUGAGUUGAGCAAGUGCUUAUUCUAAUAGAUUUAUCCUAUUCGUUCACAUCAUUUGGUACUACUUCUUUUUCUUUCCUUUUGAACUCUUUGGGAAUUUGUAAGACCUUAAAUAUUUUUAGGAUAUAUUAUCCCGUCAAGAUUUAAUUCAUUACUUUAACUUAUUCAAAGAAAAUAGUCUUUAAAAAACAAAAUAUGGUGAAAUAAAGACCCAAGUCCGAGGAUCCGGCUCCCCUCCAUUACCCCUUCCUUUCAUUUCAUCAAAUGCACGUCUAAAUUAGAGACAUGUGUCAUAUUUAAAGUUUAAAGGUCAAACUUAUAAUUAUAUUAACAAAUAAUCAUAAACCAUAGUUAAGUCAACUAAUUUUAGAAAACUACUCUCUAAAUUUGAUAAGAAUUACAAUAUAUUCUAUACAAAAUUUGAUAUUUAUUAAUAUUACUAAUUUCAUAUUAUAUUUUUAUAUUUAAAUAUUAAAUUGUAUGAUAUUUAAGGUGAGAAUCAACUAAACAAUUUAUGUACUAGUAAACUUUGCUCUUGAAAUAUAUAUAUAUACUAUGUUGAGAAAUAAACAAAAAAGUUAAGAAUUAUCAGUGUGUAAAAAAACCAUAAAAUAGAAGACACGAAAUAAAAAUAAAAAUAAAAAGAUGAAAGGUUUUUAGAAUUAAACGUGAAAUACCAAAAUUAUUCCAAGGAGAAAAUGUGGCUAUUGUGUUUGAAGGGGAAAAAUAUAUGUUUUUAAAAAUAAAUAUUCUUUUUUUUUUGUGAAAUAGAAGAUAAAAUUGUUUUAAAUGCAAAUGUUUUUGAAGAUUAUUGUUUAUCACACUAAAUAUAAACGUUUCAUGUUCUACAAUUUUAAUAUUUAAAUGUAAAUUAAAAAUCUAAGAUGAAAUUAAUGAUAUUAAUAAAUAUCAAAUUUUGGAUGAAAUAUAUUGUAAUUCUUACCAAAUUUGAAGAGUAGAUUUCUAAAAUUAGUUAAUUUAACUAUGGUUAUGAUAUUUGUUAAUGUAAUAUAAUCUUGACCUUUAAACAUGACACAUGUCUCUAAUCUAGACGUAUACUUGACAAAAUGAAGGGAAGAGAUAAUGGAGGAGAGCCGGAAGUCCGAACGCUUUCAUAAUUUCAAUUUUCAUACAUGCUGCUAACGUGAUUAAAAAAGCAAGAUAAACACGCAACUUGUUUCCUUUUUAAUUUUUGGUUGGGGGUGGGUGAAGACUUAUAUAUGUGUUGAGUGUUGUAACUUCCGUCCACUAUUCAUUUUUAUUUGUCAAAUAUUUUUUAAUUUAAUUUAUACUUUUACUUAUUAUUUUUGAUAAAUCAAAAAAGUACAAUUUUUUUCUUUCUAUAAUAUCUUCAAUUAAUUUACAUUGAGUUAAUAUCUUUGAAAAUUAUAGUGGAUAAAUAUGUUUGAGACUCAAUCAAUUAAUAGAGAUAAAAUGAUGAACUCAUUAUACUAAAUUACUAAUUAUGUUUUCUUAAUAAGUGAGUCAAAUCAAAAUUUGACCAGUAAAUCUGAACAGAGGGAGCGACUUAUUUAAGCUUAUUAGUUUUUCUAUUCCCACUCUUCAAUUUUACUUACUAUUUUUUAAAUAGAUUUUUACUUACUUAUCAUUUUUAACAUAUUAAAUAAAUCAAAAAGACAAUCUUUUUCCGUCCGUUUAUUUUUACUUGUCAAUGUUUGACUUGAUACACUCAUUAAGAAAAUAAUUAUUGCAAUAUAGGUAUUUUAUCAAAUUAUCCCUAUUAAUUGAUGAUUAGUAUUAGGUCUUAAAAAAUAAUUUGAAGAAUAAGUAUUUAAUGCUGAGGGUAAAACAUGAAUAAAAAAAUUAUUAUCUUUUUUAUAUAUGUCAAAGUAAAAACUAAAAUCUAUUUUACUAAUAAUUGAAAAGUGAACGAAGAGAGUAUUACUUUUAGCGUUAAUUAGUAAAAUAAUUAUGUUAAUUAUUACUAUUUGUUAAAGUAGGUGGAAAAUCCAGAGUUAGACGACUAAAAGUGAAGAGUAAAGUAAUUGAAAUAAAGAUGCACAAAAAGGCGCAGUUGCAAUCGCAAAGAACCCAUAAUUGGAAAUAUAGGUGCUCUAAUAGCCUACGAUUUCACCAAGCCAGAGUCGUCUUUAGUUAGAUGUCAAGAUUACUAAAAUCUACCCUACAUUAGGAGAAUAUAAAAGGGAUCUACAGAAAGCUGCUAACAUUAAAAUUAAGAAAAGCAUGGAGAGUUUGGUGGGUGAGUGGGAAGCUGCAGUUGCAGUUUGCAAAGUACCUAAUUGGAACAGAGGUGCACUAAGACAAGACCCUAUAAUUGGACCAAAGCCAAAUUUAUCUUUACAAUUCAACCUAAAAUCCACCACCACACAUUUGAGUAGAUACAUUUUAUUUUAAUCUGAAGAAACACUUUGGUAUUUCACUCCAUUUUCAUGCUUAGGAGAGUAUUCCACCCCAAUACCAUUAGCAGCAGAUAGUUUUGUCCUAGUCUCCACAUAGUUUCCGGCCAUAGAAUCAAACAAAAUGCCAGCGCCAAUGCCAACAGCCAAAUCAAUAGUGUAAUGGCCCCUAGUGCUUAACAACCUCACAACUUGCAAUACAUUCAAUGCGUCAAAUACUCUAGCCAUUUCCCAUCUCUGCAUACGUUUCAUAUCCAGCGAAGCAAUAACGGAGGCCGCAACAUGCCCUGAAUAAAACAAGAAAAACGACACAUUCCCUACUGGGAAAUCGACCCCUGACCCCAAGAAAUCCUACAAUUCAGAAAGUGAUAUAUCACUGCAUUUUUCGAAAUUUAGUAUUCAUAGCAUUAAAUUGAAUCAUACAUUCAAAUAAUUCAGAACAUGGAGGUUUAAUGGUAGAGAAUGACACUGUACACAGUACACUAGUCAGUUUCAAAUGUGGGUGGUGCUAAUGUAAUGUCCAACUACAAGCAGUAUAACAUUAAAUUAGCUAGGACAAGUCCAAGCUAUUUGUUAGACAGCUAUAUAUGCUGAUUAAGGCUAAAGUUAUAAUAUGGCCCCCCGGCCCCCAAUAUGACUUUAUGGAAAAAAAUAUUAGUAUUAAUCAACAUUUAUUCAACAUUAAUAUUUCUGUUAUAUAGAAUAUUAUUUGAAUACUAAUUUUACUUGUCCAUUUUAGCAAAUGAAGAUAAAUUUAUUACUCAUUUUCUUCCAAUACUACUCGGAUUAAAUUAAAUUUUCAAAGCUUAUUUAUAAAUAUUUCUCAUGUAAGUUAAUAUGGACCAAGUAAAAUGAAACGGGGAGCCUUCUAUGAGCACGAGGCUACACGAAAGUUCAAGAUAGUCCCAUCCAUACUAGUAUGUAAGUCAAAUGUAUGGUUAGCUUGUGAUCUACGCGAAUAAAGCGGAAAUAAUGCAUUUUUAAGUGGUGAAUUACGUCAAAUUAUUAAGUUAUUCAAAUAUUAAUAUUUUUAGAAAUAAGCCUUCUCAAAAUAUAAAAUUGUAAUUUAUAAUCUUAAAAAUAAAUAUGAAAUUUGUAAUCUAAAAAAAACAAGAGAUAGUUACCUGUUACAACUAGUCUACACUUGAUAAAGGUGAUUUGCUAAAGUUAUUGAAACUCUCUUUUAAAAGUUUUUAAAGCAAAAGGCAUCUAUCUAGCUGUAAAGAAAGAGCUUGUAUACAGGGGUGGAUUAAUAGAAAAAAGGGAAAGUAAAAGUACCUCCGGCAACGGCAAUUGUGUAGCAUACCCGAGAAUCCCUCUGAAUGUGAACAUAAACAGCGCCGAUAUUGUCGCUCGAGGCCGUCCUUCAAUUAGAAAAGUCCCCAAAAUGUACGCCGUUUGCAUCGCCACAAACACCUAAAUUAAACCCAAAUGAAAAAAAAAAUUGAAUGAAUUUUGAUUAAUGCUAAAAUUUUGUCGAUUAAAACUGUAGAUCCAGUUCAUAACUAGAUCGAUAACACCGUCAUGCACCGAUUUGGUGAUGUGCGUAGUAGCGUAUAGCGUACCGUGUUUAGUCCAGCAAAAAGAGUGUUGAGAGCGGGUUUAGCAGCAAGCAAUCGAUUAAGAGGAACUGUAACAAUAAAUCCCAGAUCGAAAGGCGGAGCAGAAGCUGGAAUCAUACGAAGAGUAUAUUCCACUCCCAUGAAAAACAACAGUGAAGCAGCGAAGAUACACGGUAUCGGAUGGUACUUCACUACACCGAAUACAUCCUCCAUCCUCCACUUCAUGAAAUACGCAUUACCUAACCACCACCCAUAACCACCAACCUCCGUUGCCGUUGCCGUUGCCGAUGCCGAUUUCUUCUUCAUUUCUGUAACGUCACCUUUCCUUUCAGUGCUGUUCCUUUUGCUGAGAGUGGAGGAAGAACUGUUCCGAUUAUGAAAUGUGUCUCCGUUCAUCGUUGCCGGAAAUUGAGACGGAGAAAAACAUGGUGAUUGUGGAUCUAGUGAAUGUGUAUAUAUAUAUGGGGAUCAAAUGACGGAGUUUACGAAGGUUGUUGUCGUAGAUAUUUAAUUUGGCGAUGAUACGUAUAUCAGAGAAAUCAGAGGGGAUGGGAAUAUCGUUUCCGUUUCAAUUACAAGUGUUGCAAAUGCAAGACAAUCGGCAAACCAACUUUUUGACUAAAAUGCCAAAUAGGGACUAUCCGGGGUAAUUUGGUAUUAUAGUUCACGAAAUUAUAAUUUUUAGAUUAAUAUUUGGGAUAAUUUCAAACACCUCCCCUCAAGUUUAACCUUAUAACACUAAUUUCCCUUCUAGUUUCAGAUAUUUCCUUAUUUUUCACAUUUAUGUAACCAAACAAAUUAGUUUUAAUGCUAAAACCCAUCCAAUAUUCCAAAGUUGCCCUUUCUUGACAUUAUUUUUUAUUAAUCAUUAAAACUCAUUCAAUAUUUCAAAGUUGCCCUUUCUUGACAUUAUUUUUUAUUAAUUUUUUAAACGGAAAUUUCCAAAAUAUUUUAACUGACAUAAAAUUAUCUACUGAUGGUGCUACCAUCUUUCAUUAUAUACAUCUAUGUAUUUCCUUGUAAACUAUCUUCUUCUUUUUAUCAAACACAACAUUAUAAACUAUCGAACUUGCUAAUUGGUGGAACUUCUUAAACAUAUUAAAUUUAGUUGUAAUUUUUACGGUUAGUACAUAUGCAAUAUUUUAAGUACAAAAAGAAUGUUGAAAAUUUAUUAUAAAAAUAUUGUUUAGGGUCGGAAAAUAUUGGUAAUUAUGUGCAGAAAAUUUUAUAUAUAUAUAUAUAUAUAUAUAUAUGAACAUAAUUUUUUUUCUUAAAUCUAAAAAAUUAUCAAACUAAACAUUUAUUAUCGCAUGUCAAAUGAAAGAAAUAAUGUUUAUACAAAUAUUUGGAGGUCAAGUAUGCAGGUUGCACUUUUCUAUCCAAAAAUGAAUUUACCCAUUGAUUUAUUUUUAUCGUUUAGAAUCCAAGUUCAAGCUAAAAAGGCUCAAAUAUAGUCUUAAAAACUGGAAUGAAAUAUUGCUUAGGUUAUUAAUCAUAUAGAAGUAUUAAAUAAUUAUAUUAAUGUCAUAAAAGGGUAUUUUUGGAUUGUGGUUGAAAGAUUAUCAUUUAAAUAAGUUUGAUUACAAAAAUUUAAAAACAAGAGAGGUGAGUGUAAUAUCUGAAACCACAAGGAAAGUAAGUGUUAUAGGGUUAAACGUGAGGGGAGGUCUCUGAAAUUAUCCCUUAAUAUUUUAUUUUUAAAAAAUAACUCAAAUUAUUUUGGAGGAGGUUGCAACAAAUAUUAGUUGAAAUUAAUAAAUAAUGGAUAUUUUUUAUAAAAUAUAAAAGUUAAGGGUACUUUUUGAAUUUUUUAAAAUUUUCAAAUAUUAAAACUUGGCUCAAAUACUAGUAGUUUUUUUCUAAUAUUUGAGAAUUUGGUAUACUUGACAAAUAUAUUUACCAAAUUAUAUGACCAAACACCACUUUUCAAGUUUUUUCGGUGGGGCCAAACGGGUAAAUAUACAGGUUUAGCAUGGAAUCACACAAAAGUGGUGAGCUGUUUCAAUACUUGUGGACUCAAAAGUAGGGAUUUUUUUUAUUUUAGUAUACAGUCUAACAAAUUCAUCUGAUCCUACGUCCUUAAUUUAAUUUUAAAUUCAUCUAACACAUAUUACCCUUAAGGUCCUAAAAAUUUCUAAAAAAAAAAAAAGUUGAAGAAUAUUCAAAUAUAUAAUCAUAAUUUUGUCACAAUCCCAAAUAAAUGAAGAUUCAGUAUAUGAAUGAAAACAAUUAAAUUUCUUUUAGAUCAACGUACAAAAUAUAUCUAUCUCUACUUUUUUAUUCUUUUAAAGAAAUAUAUUGCAGAGUCUUAGUCAUAAACCCGUAUGUAUAAAACUUUAUUCUUUCAAUAUCUCAAUGUAAAUGCAGAUUAAAAUUUUGAUAAGUUAUUUCUUGUUUUUCUAGAACACUUUUAAAAAGAAAAUACAAUAGAAAAACGACAAAUAUCUCAAACCACAUGAAAUAGUAAUGUUUUUUUGUUGAUUAUAAAUAUUAAAUUAAUCUAGAGAGUAGACACUGAGGUCCCUAGCAUUUAUUAAUAUAGUAUAUUAUAACAAGGAAUUAACUGUACAAUACCUUCGAACUUGGUUGUCAUUAUUUAAUUCGUUUCUACAUUUUUGUCUCCAGUCUUAUUCCGAUAUGUUGGGCGUUGGCACAAUGCAUUAACUGGUCGGUAUAUCCAAUCAUGUGACCGUCUAUAUGCUGACGCAUAUCUAAGGAAUUUCCUCGAGUUUACGUGAACUCAUACUUUCCUCUCUAAAUCAUGUAUAGUAUUGUCAUAUUUGUAAAAAAAAAAAAAAAACUUUAAUAUAAGAGUUGUUAAGUAUACACUUUAAUAUAAGAGUUGUUAACCUACACUUUUAAGUAUACAUUAUAUAUAUGUGAUGAUUAGGUGCAUCUCUCUUUAAGUGAGGCUAGAAAGUGUCCGACUAAGUUAAUCCAAAAAGGCAAGGAGUAAAUCAUAUGGGAUGUUUCAACUUUUACCAGCAGAAGCAUAGUUAUCCACUUUGAGAUGUGAUGCUGAAACAGACCAAGUAGAAAGGACACAAAAUUAACAAGACACUUCUCUGGCAAUUCAAGACGUAAAUAGGCUGGAGACGAUUCAUGAAAAACUGGUUAAAUUCUACAGGCUGAUAACUGAUUAAUGCAUUUGCGUAACUCGAGCACCUAUGUGUAGAGUUACGCAAAUGCAUUAGCUUUGAUCAAGCUUAUUGUUGCGUUAAUGUUCAUCUAGCCGGCAUGACUGUGUAUUUGAGAGAGAGAGAGAGAGAGAAAACAACUGACUUGCUUGAGCUCUUAAUAAUUACACUGCCAUAGUUUAGUGCUUGAACAGAAACAACUUAACAGGCAAAAUUUCUCAGAGGUUGAACUGAAUCCCUAAUCUACCUAUAAUUAUCAACAUUUUGUCUUUCUUUGAAUCCUUCUUUUAACUGAAUACUGAUCUUCCAUACUGUCUCAGCUUCCACAGGAGACACUGCCAAACUUCUUAUCACUGGCGUCAAGAGGUUGUAUCCUAGAUCUGAAAAUCUACAGCUCCCACCGAAAAUAUAGCACAGGAGCAUUUGCAUCAGAGAGCCCACUGCAGACCGCUACCUUGAUGCUUGAUCAAGACCAGCGGCAGCAGAGCUAAUGCCAGGGGUAACACCAUUUUCAUUUGGAGGUGGUGUACCCCAUUUACCUUCUGACUCUAGAGGCUCAAGCACAUAAACUCCACCAUCAGUAAGUCCUACUGCGCAUUGGUUUGAUUCAGAUGGAUGAGCAGCAACGACAAGUGGAUAUACUCUGGAGC